RNAcentral lists this long non-coding RNA (61460 nucleotides) under Solanum tuberosum (potato). RNAcentral describes it as "long non-coding RNA (STUB_LNC007720)". The record is from RNAcentral. Lineage: Eukaryota; Viridiplantae; Streptophyta; Magnoliopsida; Solanales; Solanaceae.
AAUGCGUGAGAUCACUAUGGCAAUGGAAUAAACCUUUAUGCGAAGAAUCUGAUAAAUGGGGUUGGAAUUCACUACACUAUGCUGUUAAACAAGGAUUGGCAGAAAUUGUUUGCGAUAUGUUGGGAUGGAAGAAAUCUUUAGCCUACCUUCCGGCAGGCAGUGAAAAUGAUUGGACGACGGCAUUUCACAUUGCAGCUAGUGAAGGUGAUGUAUUGAUGAUACGUGAGUUGUUAAACCACUGCCCAGAUUGUUGGGAUAUGCUUAAUUGCAAUGGCCAAAAUGCACUUCAUGUUGCCAUAUUGAACGGUCACGAAAUGUUUGUCUAUGUCUUCCUUGGGUCUGGAAUUUCUGAUAGCCUUGUUGAUGAGGCAAUACUCCAGUCCAUUUGCUUGCUGCCUCUGGGAACCGUGUGCCUCAAAUGAUAUUAUACCAUCCUAGCGCAAAGAAGAUGACAUUUAACAAACAAAAUCAGACUCCACUUGACAUAGCAUUGUCUCGUACAUGGACAAUAAAGAAGGUACUCUCUCUUGUCCAUGACGGACUGGAUCGGUUUUCCCCAUUUCUUUGAACUGACUCAGUCCAUUGGUUUCCUUUUUUUUUUUGUUAAUCAACAAUGUAAAUAAGAUUAGCAAAAAUUACAGAAUUAGAGGGGGACAUGGCAACCUAACCUCUAGACACAAAAAGAGAGCAUACAGAGGAGUUAAUGCUCCUAAGAGAUCUUGUCUAAGACUAAGAGUUCUGGCACAUUGAAGUGCUUUAGAAGUAAUCAGUAGCUUUAGCCUAAACAUACUGGCAUCUACAAAAGUAAGAGAAUCAUGCUCGUAGCGCUACGAAGAGUGUUUUUUUGCUUGUUUUCGAGAGGACGGGAGCUGGAUCUUAUCAAUUCAAAUGGGGCCAAUAGCCUCCUUAGGAAGGUCUUCUUUAUGUAGGAAAAUUUUAUCGGGUGGUGGCAUGCUUCGCAAGAGCAUCUGCGACUCAGCAUGCUUUGUCACGAUUCCUUUAUUUCUGUUAUUGAACUGCUUUGAUCUGUUUUUCAUCGAGCCAAGGGUCUAUCGGAAACAACUUCUCUACCUCCGGGGUAGGGAUUAUAAGGUCUGCAUACACCUACCUCCGGAGUAGGGAUUACACUGAGUAUAUUCUUGUUGUUGGUAAAGAUAAAAACUAGAGUAACAAUGAAUUAUAUUUUGUGUUUUUGAAAAUGACAACUAUUUUGGACUAUCUAUUUUUGGUAAGGAUGAAAAUAAAAUGAACCAGAGAGAAGUAGUUAUUAAUUCAUCUUUUUCUCAAGUAGUAUUAUAUUAUCUUUCACCAGCUGAUCAAUUCUAUUACUACAUGUCACAUAUAUUAGGAGAAAUUGGUAGGCGAUUUGUGCAGCAUAAAUGGACGAUUGGGACAACGUGACUUCAAGGUGAAACGGAAAACAGAAACGAUUGGUAACAUACGACAGAUUAAGAAGGAGGAUGAUCAGGACAAAGCUAAGAGAGACAAAAUAGAAAUAGAAAAAAUUAUGAAGGCAGCUCAAAUACAAGUAGUUGUAGCUACUCUCCUAAUGACAGUCACUUUCGCAGCUGGUUUCACAUUGCCAGGAGGUUUAUACAACGAUGACGGUCCUAAUAAAGGGAUGGCAAUUCAAUUAAGAAAAACAGUGUUUCGUGCAUUUGUUAUUACAGAUGUCCUGGCAUUUUCAUUCUCAGCUGGUGCUAUAUUCAUCUACUUCUUCAUGGCAGAUAGCGAUGUAGACGACGAUGAAGAUUUUAAAAGGGACUGGUUCAAAGUUUUAAGGAGUUAUUAUUACAUAGCAGGGAUUUUGCAACUUUUGGCAAUGGGUGCAGUUGUAGUUACAUUGUAACUGGUAUGUAUGCUACUUUAGCAAAUUCACUUGCUCUUGCUGUUAGUGUUUGUGUCAUUGGUUGUGUCUCUUUUCUUAUGUACUUUUCGAUUAUCUUUUGGGUAUAGAAAACCAAGAAGAAACUCUUAAGAGCUCUUGCUUUUUAGGCCUAUUGAGCCAACAAACAUACUUUGUAGUCAUGCCCAAGUUGCCACCAAAUACUUGGCCCAAAUAUGUAUUAAAUUAUGGUUAGAUUAUAUGAUCUAGUAUAAAUAUUGAGUGCUAAAUAAGUACUUAUUUCUAUGUUCAAGUUUAUUUAGUGAAUUUGUAUUGAACUUUGAAAAAUCUAGAAUGGUAAUUAUUCUCCAAACGAUGGUUGUAUAUGAAAUUUCCUUUCUUCAAAUAUUAAAGACUCUUAACUUAAACUAGACUAGAUGAAAAAACAUUAUUUUGAGAACUUUACUAUUCAUGUUUUAGAAAUCAAACUAUUCAAGACUUCUUUUUUUUGUUUAUAAUUUUCUUCUUUCCUCAAAUAAAACCUACUAAAAUAAAAGGUCAAAAUGUCAAGAUUAGACAGAAAUAUAUAUUUUGUAAAACUUGGGUUCCAUAAAAAAUUAAAUAUUCAUAAUCACAUCGUCCUAUAUUAACAAGUCUUCUUCAUUUAUGGACUUCAUUUGUCAGAUAAUCUACCUAUUUGUUUGCUUCUCUCCGGAUAUGGAUGAUAUUCAUCUUGGUGGCAUCAAGUAAAUACUUGCAAUCUCUUAUGACGUCCAUUCUUUUAUGCGGAAAUAAUCUCUUCUGACCAAUUACAAUUUGGAUAGAAAAAAAUGACCGCAUUUAAAUAUUUUAUAUAUAGAAAAUAAAGAUCCAUCACAAAAGAAACAUAAAACUAAAAACAAAUUUUGGACUAUUUUCUUUGUCCUUUUUUAUUGCUUAAUAUUUUACUUCCUCUCUGUCUCAGUCCCUUUCUCUAUCAUCAUAAUCCAAUGGUUGUUAAUUGUUAUCCUUGAGACUUGGUUGUUAAUUGUUAUCCUUGAGACUUGGUUGUUAAUUGUUAUCCUUGAGACUUGGUUGUUAAUUGUUAUCCUUGAGACUUGGUUGUUAAUUGUUAUCCUUGAGACUUGGUUGUUAAUUGUUAUCCUUGAGACUUGGUUGUUAAUUGUUAUCCUUGAGACUUGGUUGUUAAUUGUUAUCCUUGAGACUUGGUUGUUAAUUGUUAUCCUUGAGACUUGGUUGUUAAUUGUUAUCCUUGAGACUUGAAGUGGGUCCAUCCUAUCAAUUUCCUAGCCAAUAAUAAUAUGCCACGUGUAUGAACAUGUGAUGAUUAAACAUCAAAAUUCCCUAAUUGAGUCAUAAAGAGUGAGAAUGCCAUAAGAAAUUAUUGUAUUAUGUUAUGUUCUUACCAACUAAGGAAUCAAAGAAUCUUUGUUGGGUUUUAGCGUUGUAGAGAAACAAGAAGAACAAAAAAACACCUAUAAGGGUUAUACUGGUCUUUUAGAUUUUAUCAAUCAUAGAAAAAAAAGGUAUGUUGAAGAGCUAGCUACCUAAUCAAAUCUUUCUUUAGUUUUACUGUUUUCCCAUGUUGGGUUUACCUAAAUACUCAUUUUUUCCAUGUGGGGUUUACUUUUUGUGAAUGAAUAUGAGUUAAAGAUGGGAUUUUUAUUACACAGUGUUGAAAAAAGAUAGUGUUUUUAUCUUGGAGUGAGAAAAUGUGUAUUUAUCUUUGUUGCGUACUAUUUCCUCUUUUCUAAUUUGUUUGUAUUACUUUAAUUUGUCGAAGUUUAAGAAAAUAAAUAAGACGUUUGAAUCUUGUGUUAUUAAUGUUGUAGAACGUAUGAAAAUGUCAUUUAAUUUCUCUUACUUGAAAAAAAGCUGAGGUUUUUUCCCCUUUGAAAUUUCAGUUUGAGUCAUUGGUUGGUAACUACUGGACUUAACUUUUGCAAUCCCCUUUCUUAAUUUAGAUUGUUGAUCUUAUUUUUGGAUGUUAUGCAUAAUUUCUUUUGGUACAUUGGAAAGAAGAAUAAACUACAUAAUUUUUUUUAAAAGUUGUUCAUAACCAUUAUGCUUAAGUUCGCUAGGAGAAGAAACUUUAUGUUCUUAAUAGUACUAGUUUCUGGCAACGUGCGUUGCACGUUUAUCCCUUACUAUUGUUAUAUAAUUUAAAAAUGUGUUAUCAAAUAGAAAAUGCUUAAAUCAACAAUAUUAAUUUUACCAAUUACAUUUCAUGUAUUAAAUAAAAUACAUAAAAAGGGAUUGAGCAUUUGGCAUCAAACAUGUGAAAUUAAUUAAGAUAAUAUAGUCUCUUAACUCUGUGUCACUGUGUGUGCGUCUUUUUUAUGAAUUAAAUAUCAUUGAUAACCUUUUAUAGCCAUGAAUGGAUUAAAAAAAAUCAUGCAGGUUUAUUGACAAGAUUGCCUAUUUUAUUUUAAUGAGAAAUGGAGCGUGAAAUAUUUGUAUUAUUUAAGUAAAGUUCUAGAAUUAAAAGGCUAAUCAAAGAAUACAUGAAGAUACACUUUCAAAAUUUUACAAGAUUAAAAAGCAAUUACAUCCAAAAUAUAAAAGUGACAGAUAAAGAAUUAACAAACUGGACUUCAUACAUACAACUAUUCCAAAAGCUCAUAAUAAUAGCUAAAAGAUCACAACACCACAAUGAGUUCAUUAGAAAUGCAAAAGAAAUUAUAAAAAAACAAUAAUCUUCCUAAUGGAGAACCGAAAGAGAUAUGAGGACUUAGGCAUAUCUAAAAAGAAGUCUUCUCCCAUGUAUUCUAUUUACUCCUUUAUACCAUUUCUUCCUAUCUUUUUUGCCUAUCAUAUAUAGAUGCGAUAGUUUUUUUGAUUAUCCUCUUUUCAAGUUGAAUGACAUGAGUUUCUUUCAUUUUUCAAUGGUUAUCAUCCCGUUCUUAAAUAGUAGUGAAAAUGUCUGUUCAAAUUCCAUUUUCAGUUCUAAAUAAUAGUCUUUUAAUAUAUAGAUGGGAAGAUGAAAAAUACAAAUCAUAAUUAGACUAAGUAAGAGAAUUAACAUUACCACUAAUUACUACUCUGAACGUGAUGAAAUCUAGUCUAAUUUAAAUGGAUAAGAAGAUGAAAAAUAUAAAUCAUUGUAAUUAGUAAUAAAUAAGGCAAUUACAAACCAUCUCAUUAAUUAUUAAUUUGAUAUUAAUUCAUUCAUAUAUAAUAAUACACUUUUAAUACCUUAGUAAUAAAUCAAAUAAAUAAAAUCAGUAGCAUUAAUCGGGUAAAUGAGGGGUCUUUUCAUAUACCAGUAAUUAUUCUAGGCUAUACAUACAUGUACAAUUGAUAUUAUCUAAAAAUAUAUCUUUUCACAUUCCAAGCAUUUAAUUAUUUGCUUAGUCCUUUGAGUUUCUUCUGCUAAUAUCAUUUAUGGAUAAUGUCUAAUCUAUACUUCAUAUAAGUAGAGAAAAGUGUUAAAUCACUUGAUAAUUUUUCUCUUUCUUUGUCAGAAAUUUCCUUUAAUUCUUACUCCUAGAAUUCAGGCUUGAGAACGUUGGAAUAUAAAAUUUACUUUAAUUUUUUUUUUAACAGGCAGAUGAUUAAAACAAAAAACUGCACAUCUUUAGAAAAUGUGGAGCAUUAAUAUAGAAAUGCAAGUAAACCUAGAAAUAGGGCUGUUUAACUUCUUAUGUAAUCUCCCUAAAAUGUGUAAUUAAGUCUUCAAACUUUUAAAAUUUUACUAUAAACUCUUGAGGUAAUUUUAAUUUUACUAUUUACUAUUAAAUUAAUUAGAUGUUUGAUUAUUAACUCACCCUAGAACGUGUAUUUAGUCUUAGUUAAUUUAAAUUUUACUAUUUAUUAUUUAAUUAAUUAAAUGUUUGAUUUAGUGUAGGGGUAAAAUGGUAAUCUAACUUUUCACUUUUGAAGCUUCCCACUUAUAAUAAUANNNNNNNNNNNNNNNNNNNNNNNNNNNNNNNNNNNNNNNNNNNNNNNNNNNNNNNNNNNNNNNNNNNNNNNNNNNNNNNNNNNNNNNNNNNNNNNNNNNNNNNNNNNNNNNNNNNNNNNNNNNNNNNNNNNNNNNNNNNNNNNNNNNNNNNNNNNNNNNNNNNNNNNNNNNNNNNNNNNNNNNNNNNNNNNNNNNNNNNNNNNNNNNNNNNNNNNNNNNNNNNNNNNNNNNNNNNNNNNNNNNNNNNNNNNNNNNNNNNNNNNNNNNNNNNNNNNNNNNNNNNNNNNNNNNNNNNNNNNNNNNNNNNNNNNNNNNNNNNNNNNNNNNNNNNNNNNNNNNNNNNNNNNNNNNNNNNNNNNNNNNNNNNNNNNNNNNNNNNNNNNNNNNNNNNNNNNNNNNNNNNNNNNNNNNNNNNNNNNNNNNNNNNNNNNNNNNNNNNNNNNNNNNNNNNNNNNNNNNNNNNNNNNNNNNNNNNNNNNNNNNNNNNNNNNNNNNNNNNNNNNNNNNNNNNNNNNNNNNNNNNNNNNNNNNNNNNNNNNNNNNNNNNNNNNNNNNNNNNNNNNNNNNNNNNNNNNNNNNNNNNNNNNNNNNNNNNNNNNNNNNNNNNNNNNNNNNNNNNNNNNNNNNNNNNNNNNNNNNNNNNNNNNNNNNNNNNNNNNNNNNNNNNNNNNNNNNNNNNNNNNNNNNNNNNNNNNNNNNNNNNNNNNNNNNNNNNNNNNNNNNNNNNNNNNNNNNNNNNNNNNNNNNNNNNNNNNNNNNNNNNNNNNNNNNNNNNNNNNNNNNNNNNNNNNNNNNNNNNNNNNNNNNNNNNNNNNNNNNNNNNNNNNNNNNNNNNNNNNNNNNNNNNNNNNNNNNNNNNNNNNNNNNNNNNNNNNNNNNNNNNNNNNNNNNNNNNNNNNNNNNNNNNNNNNNNNNNNNNNNNNNNNNNNNNNNNNNNNNNNNNNNNNNNNNNNNNNNNNNNNNNNNNNNNNNNNNNNNNNNNNNNNNNNNNNNNNNNNNNNNNNNNNNNNNNNNNNNNNNNNNNNNNNNNNNNNNNNNNNNNNNNNNNNNNNNNNNNNNNNNNNNNNNNNNNNNNNNNNNNNNNNNNNNNNNNNNNNNNNNNNNNNNNNNNNNNNNNNNNNNNNNNNNNNNNNNNNNNNNNNNNNNNNNNNNNNNNNNNNNNNNNNNNNNNNNNNNNNNNNNNNNNNNNNNNNNNNNNNNNNNNNNNNNNNNNNNNNNNNNNNNNNNNNNNNNNNNNNNNNNNNNNNNNNNNNNNNNNNNNNNNNNNNNNNNNNNNNNNNNNNNNNNNNNNNNNAUAUUAUGGAAUUUGAGAAGUUAUUGAAAUUUUUAUAUGAUUUUAAAAAUAAUUUAAAUUGUUAGCUAUUGUUAAUUAUUGUAAUUUAUAGUUUCUUUUUCGUCAAUUUCAAACAAUAUAUGUUNNNNNNNNNNNNNNNNNNNNNNNNNNNNNNNNNNNNNNNNNNNNNNNNNNNNNNNNNNNNNNNNNNNNNNNNNNNNNNNNNNNNNNNNNNNNNNNNNNNNNNNNNNNNNNNNNNNNNNNNNNNNNNNNNNNNNNNNNNNNNNNNNNNNNNNNNNNNNNNNNNNNNNNNNNNNNNNNNNNNNNNNNNNNNNNNNNNNNNNNNNNNNNNNNNNNNNNNNNNNNNNNNNNNNNNNNNNNNNNNNNNNNNNNNNNNNNNNNNNNNNNNNNNNNNNNNNNNNNNNNNNNNNNNNNNNNNNNNNNNNNNNNNNNNNNNNNNNNNNNNNNNNNNNNNNNNNNNNNNNNNNNNNNNNNNNNNNNNNNNNNNNNNNNNNNNNNNNNNNNNNNNNNNNNNNNNNNNNNNNNNNNNNNNNNNNNNNNNNNNNNNNNNNNNNNNNNNNNNNNNNNNNNNNNNNNNNNNNNNNNNNNNNNNNNNNNNNNNNNNNNNNNNNNUGGUGGGGCCCACUUAUAUAUUUUAUAAAUAUAUUGGACAUUAAUAGUGAUCUUAUUGGAACAUUGGUAGUCAUUCCUAGACUCUUCUAUAAUAUAGUAAUAUGAUAUGAUAUAUGAUUACAGGGCCUCUUCAUAAUUGUGAUUCUCCAUAAACAAGUAGUCUCUGGAUAUACAUAUUAAUGAGUAUAUAAAGUGACACCUGAACUUGUUUCGAAUUUUCAAAAAUAUACCUUAAUUAUGCGGGCAUCCUAUUACCCACUAAACAAUCUUGAACUGAUAUUAUUACAUCAUUUUUUUGUCCACUUCACAUAGAGAGUGUGUGCACUCUCUCAAAGAGAGUGAACAACCUAAAAUAACUAAUAUAAUUUUAUUUUUACAAGUAUUUUAUUAUAAAAUAUGUUUUCUUAUUUUUCUUAUUAUUUUAACUUUUUUCCUUUUUAUUUUUUCUCUUUCUUUCUUCUUCAAAAAUUCAUUGUCAUUUUCAUUGAAACUUCUCACUUUCAAUGUCACCAUUUUUACCACAACUUCACCUUUAUUUUUUUUUACUACUAUUAGUUUUACUCUCUUUAAUUUUAAAACUUUAUCUAAAUAUUUUCUUACAUUUCGAACAAUUUGAUAACCCAUUAGAUUUCAAGAUGAUUAGGAAAUAUCAUAUAAUUUUUUUCAUCCAAUUUCAAUUAAGUUCUUUCAAUUUUGGGAAAUUCAUUGAUUCUUUUAAAAGUUAUAUGAAAAUGAGUAAUUGAUGAUACCUUCAAAAUUUUAAAUUUUCUUAGAAAAAUAAUUAGUUUUGUUAUCAAUAAUUCAAUAAAGUCUAGAAAAUAGUAUGAUUUUUUUUAAUAAAAAUAAUAAUAAAAUAAAGAAUUUGAUUGGAGAAGAAGAAGAAAAAAAAAGAAAAAAAUGGAAGAGAAUUCAACUUGAUGUUGGGGGUGGGGUGAGGGUGAGAAGUGAAGAAAAAGAAAGAAAAUGGAUGAAUGAAUCACUUGAAAGUGUGUGUGGGGGGGGGGGGUUGGGGUGAAAGAUGAAGUGAAAUUUUAGAUGAAAUCAAAAUUAAAAUAAGUCACAAGUAAGAGAGAGAGAGAGAAAAGGUAAAGAAAAAACUUAAAAUGAAUUUUUAAAAAAAAUUAAAUUAACACGUGUCAUGUAAUGAUUGGUGUGUGAACACACUUGCUUUUUAAAAUCUGAGAUUGAUCGAAAAAUGAUAUAAUAAUAUAUGUUCAAAAUUGUUUAAUAGGGUAAUAAGACGGUUGCAAAAUUAAGAUAUCUUUUUGAAAAUUCGGAACAACUUCAAUAGUGAAUUUAUGUCUUUUUUUCUUUUUAAAAAUUGCAUAAAUACAAUAUAACAAUGCUUUUGACUUAACUAGAUACUUCAUUUGUCUCACAUAAAAGAAACAAGGAACUUUUGUGACACCUUGGAUAUCCACACAUAAUGGAUCCAAGAAUGUACAUUGCUGCAAUGGAAGGGAGUAUGGAAGAUGGUGAUUUUUCACUUGUUGAUCAUCUGAAAAGGGAGGAAGAAAAUGGAUACCAAGUCACUCCAAAGGGAAAUACAAUCCUCCAUGUGGCAGUUCACUUUGGCCAACGAGGUUUCGUGGGAGAAGUCCUUAAGAUUACCCCGGCUUUAUUAUGCUAUAAGAAUAAGAAAAAUGAAACUGCGCUUCACAUUGCAGCUAAUUUAGGACAAAGUGAAGUGGUGAGUGAACUACUUAGCAUAGAAGGAAAGGAGACACUUGUGAGGAUGACGGAUGACAUUGGAGAUACGGCCUUGCACAAGGCCAUUAGAAGUGGACACAUUGACAUUGUCAGGAUGUUGGUGAAAGUAUUACUAGAUCCUGAACACGACUUUCCAGCCAAUAAGGCUGGGGAGACACCACUUUAUUUGGCUGCAGAGUCUGGUUUUCAUGAUGCUUUGAUUGAAAUCUUGAACGUUUGCAAGGAACCAACUUAUGUUGCAGGUCCAUCCAAUCGAACACCUCUACAUGCAGCCGUAAUUCAAGAACACACGGGUGAGUACCUCCUGGAUGAUUUCAUCAUAUAUAAUAUGGAAAAUGAUUAAAUUUGUCCCUCUACUAAUAAAAAGAAGCUAUAUUUACCUUUGGUUAAAUUUAUUUCAAUAAAUAUACUGCUACAGUCAUACUUUAUGAUCUUGUUGAACGGAAAAAUCAUCCAUUUAUCAUCAUCAUAUAUAAUAUUUGACAUAUAUAUCCAGAAUGCGUGAGAUCACUAUGGCAAUGGAAUAAACCUUUAUGCGAAGAACUUGAUAGAUGGGGUUGGAAUUCACUACACUAUGCUGUUAAACAAGGAUUGAAAGAAAUAGUUUCCGAUAUGUUAGGAUGGAAGAAAUCUUUAGCCUACCUUCCGGCUGGCAGUGAAAAUAACUGGACGACAACGUUUCACAUUGCAGCUAGUGAAGGUGAUGUGUUGAUGAUAGGUGAGUUAUUAAACCACUGCCCAGAUUGUUGGGACAUGCUUAAUAGCAAUAGUCAAAAUGCACUUCAUGUUGCCUUAUUGAACGGUCACCAAAUGUUCGUCAUUGUCUUCUAUAUGAUUGGAUUUUGGAAUAGCCUUGUUGAUGAGGAAGAUAAUGAAGGCAAUACUCCACUCCAUUUGCUUGCUGCCUCUGGGGACAAUGUGCCGCAAAUGAUAUUAGACCAUCCUAGAGCAAAGAAGAUGGCAUUUAACAAACAAAAUCAGACUCCACUUGACAUAGCAUUGUCUCGCACAUGGACAACAAAGAAGGUACUCCCUCUUGUCCGUGACGGUUUUCCCUCACUUCUUUGGACUGACUCAGUCCGUCGGUUUUUUUAAAAUUAACCAUGUAAAUAAGAUUAGCAAAAUUUACAGAAUCAAAGGUAACCAUAGCCUGAUAAAGGGUUCGAUCCAAUUUGGACACCCAUUUAGGAGGUGCCAAACAGACCCAUCAUUGAUUUGAGAUCUUGAUUAAGUGAAUACCUAGUCUUUGCAAUUAAUGCUAGGCAUAAUGAGUAUAAGCACCUCAAAAAAAUCUCUUUUCGUCAUAUGAACUUUAAGGUGUAUGAAGUUUCAUAUUUGAUUUUUUAAGCAGAACAAUAGGACAUAUGGCAACCUAAGUGGAAUUAAUGCUCCUAAGAGAGAGUUUUGGCACAUUGAAGUGCUAUAAACCUAGAAGUCACCAGUAUCUUUAGCCUAAACAUACUGGCAUCUACAAAAGUAGGAGAAUCACGGGGGCUCGUAGUGACAAGAAGAGUGUUUUUUGGCUGGUCUUUGAGAGACGGGAGCUGCAUCUUAUCCAUUCAAAGGGGGCCAAUAGCCUCCUUAGGAAGGUAGGAAAGUUUUAUCUUCUUGAAGGGUGGUGGCAUGCUUCGCAAGAGCAUCCUCAAUUCCAUUGCUUUUUCUAUAAUAAUGACUAAUGCUGACAUCUUCUGUUGAAUUUUGUGUCGAAUAUCAUGCAAUCUUGAUGGGUGGUUUCAAUUUGGUUGGUUUUUGCACUGCUUUAGUAGUGAUCUUUAUUGAGUAAGGGUGUUUUGUCAUGAUUCCUUCAUUUCUGUUAUUAAACUGCUUUGAUCCGUUUUUCAUUGAGUCGGGGGUCUAUCGGAAACAACAUUUCUACCUCCAUGGUAGGGAUAAGGUCUGAAUACACCUACCUCCGGAGUAGGGAUUACAUUGAGUAUAUUCUUCUUGUUGUUGUUGGUAAAGAUAAAAACUAGAGUAACAAUGAAUCAUAUCUUGUGUUUUCUAAAAUGACAGUCUAUCUAUUUUUAGUAAGAACGAAAAUAAAAUGAACCGAAGGAUGCAGUUAUUAAUUCCACUUUUUCUCAAGGACUAUUAUAUUAUACACUAUAUCUUUCACCAGUUAGCUUAUCAAUUUUAUUACUACAUGUCACAUAUAUUAGGAGAAAUUGGUAGCCGAUAUGUGCAGCAUUAGCGGAGGAUUGGGACAACGUGACUUCAAGGUAAAACGGAAAAUAGAAACAAUCGGGAACAUACAACAGAUGAGGAAAAAGGAGGAUGAUGAAGCCAAAGCUAAGAAAGAAAAAUUAGAAAUCGAAAAAAUUAUGAAGUCAACUCAAAUACAAGUAGUUGUAGCUACUCUAAUAAUGACAGUCACGUUCGCAGCUGGUUUCACAUUACCAGGAGGUUUAUACAGCGAUGACAGUCCUAAUAAAGGGAUGGUGAUUCUAUUAAAGAGAGCAACGUUCCGUGCAUUUGUUAUUUCCGAUGUCCUGGCAUUUUCAUGUUCAGCUGGUGCUAUAUUCAUCUAUUUCUUCCUGGCAGAUAUGGAGGUAGACAACGAUGAACCUAAACGGGACUGGUUCAGAAUGUUUAAGAGGAGCUAUAAUAUAGCAUGGACUUCGCAACUUUUGGCAAUGGGUACAGUUGUAGUUGCAUUUGUAACUGGUAUGUAUGCUACUUUAGAAAAUUCACUUGCUCUUGCUGUUAGUGUUUGUGUCAUUGGUUGUGUCUCUUUGCUUAUGUACUUUUCGUAUAUCAUUUGGGUAUAAUCAGGAGAGAUGUGCUUACUAGUAGUAUUCGAACAACGUACAUAACCUUAAUUUGAGGUGAUCAGGUGUGCUUAUUAUUCGAGCAACUCUCUGUUGUCUAAUAUAGCUAGGAGAUCAAACUUAAUACUAUUUUUUUCUUCAUGUAUAGAGACAUGUGAUUGUGAAUGAUACUAUUUGUUCUAGCAUGAUUUUCUUGAAUUAUUUUUCCCAUUCCUCUUGUUUUUGUUUCGAAAUAAAGUAAAUUGAUUUGUGAUUUAUCAACACGUCUAUAUUUAUUCAACAAGAUCCAAUAAUUAGCUUAAUAUGUAGCCAUGUGUUUGUCUAAAAAAGUGUACCAUGAGUCUAUUUACUUUAGUGUAUAUAUUGUACUAUUGUAGGUAGAACUUUAAGAUUCUUGCGUGAAUAAGUAAAGCAUGAUGAAAUCUUCAAGUAAUAUAGAUCUAUCCCCUUCUCGGGCCGUGUAAUUUUACAUGAUAUCAGAGCUCUAAACAUAGAAGCUACGUUGUACAAAUUUCUAUCCAAAAACAAUGGCCUCUAGUUCCCUUUAACCCUCCUUGUCUCUUUUAGCCUCUGCCCUGCCUCAUCUCAUGGUUGUUUGUCCUGUCAUCUCUAGGGCCCUAUUGUCACAAAUUAUGACGUAAGUUUAAUGACUUGGGUCGAUCUUAAGCAAACCACACUCCAAAGUGAAAUGGAAGUCAUCAACCUAGGCCAUGGCCUUACUGAUCACUCACCAACCUAAAUUAUUUAUGUAAUGUGAUAAAUCAUUUAUCUUUUGUUAUUUUUUAAAAAGGCCAGUCAAGGUGGAAAUUAAUACAUUCAGCCACUUUACCUUAGGUUUUAAGCCAAAAAAAAAAUAUAAAAAAUUAAAACCCAAUUGAUCAUUUUAACCAAAAAUCACCUGUAUAUAUAAGAUAAAUUUUCUGUAUUUAAUUUUGAACCCCUCACAAACAAGAAGUAAAGAGUGGGUGGUAGAUCUCUUUAAUAAUUGACUCUCACAUUUUGUGGCUCAAAUCCCAUUGUGAACACUGAACAUUAUAUUUUUAGUUUCUCUUCAUUUAAUUUUGGGAACAAUCUUUCACGUAUUUUUUAUUAUUAUAAAAAAAAGUGCUAAAAUAAUAUAUUUAAACCCAAAAAAAUCGAAGGAUCCAUUCCCAAAGGCUAAAAAUCACUUUUCAUCUUUCCAAAUCCCUAAAUCACGUCAUUAGUUCUUCCCCCAAGACUCAAAAGCCAAAUAUAAAAUCACUUUUCAAGUCUCUUGUAACAGAACUAUUUUUUUUAUAAACUACUCUCUCUGUCCAACAAUAGUUGUCCACUAUUGAUUUGACACACCUCUUAAAAAACUAUAAAUGGAAGAAUAAUUUUAUUAUAUCACCAUUUUGAAAAAUGUAAUAUCAAAUGACUAUAAUUAAUGAUAAGGAUAAAUUAGGAACUAUAAGUGUAAAAUUGUCCAUUGAUUUAAUAAAGUGGACAAGUAUUGUUGGACAUCCCAAAAUAGUAUAGUGGACAACUAUUGUUGGACGGAGUACUACUUUCUUGGAUUUGUCUUUUGUUGGCUUAUCCGCACAUUUAUAUUUUUAUUAUUUUUCAAACCCCUUGAAUGAAAAUCUUGGAUCCGUCACUAGCCCACCCAAUAUUUGCCUGGUAAGCUCCUUUAUACAUUGAUAAACACAAGGGCUAAAAAGGUCCAAAUUGACAAGUUAAAAUCAAUUAAAUUCAUAUAACUACAAGGUUCGAAUUCGAAUUUUGCUGGUAGCAUCUAAUUAAUUAUAUUACAUAUGUUCAUUAUCAACUCGUCCCAUAUUAACAAGUCCUCUUCAUUUGUCAAGAAAAUCUACGUAGUUGUUUGUUUUUAUUCAGACAUGAAUAAAAUUCAUCUUGGUGACUUCAAGCAAAUACUUAUAAUCUCUUAUAACGAUUCAUUCUUUUACGUGAAAAUGAUCUUUUAUGAUCAAAUACAAAUUGAAUAGAAAAAAAACAAUCUUUUUAAGAUUUUUUAUGUAUAAAAAAAAUAUAUCGUAAAAAAAGACUUUGAAACUAAAAAUAAAUUUGCACGAUUAUCCUUGUCCUCUUGAUUACUUUGAUGUUUUUACUUCUCUAGUUCACUCCCUUUCUCUAUCAUCAUACUCCGACGGCUGUUAACUUCGAGACUUGAAGUGGGUCCACCACAAAAAUAAAUAUCUUUUGCUUACAUAACUGAACACACGCACACAAAAAACAUUUUUCAUCAUAACGAAUACAUACUUUAUGCUACUAGGUUAAAGAUUCGAUUUUUUUCAUUUAGGUUUUACUUUUUUUUUUUUUGUAUUAAUAUGGGUUAGGGAUUCGAUUUUGAGUAUAUGGUGUCGAUAAAUAUUGUGUUUUUUUUGUUGGGAGUAAGAAAAUGUUUAUAUUUAUUUGUGUUGUGUUGGGUUAGGCAUUUGACCGUGAAAAUAAAAAUUUAAUUUAUUUUACUUAGAAUUUUUAAAGUUAGAAUUGGAAUAGUGUUUGCCAUAAUAUUUGAAUUUUUUUUUGAAUUUGAAUGUGUUUUUCUAUAAGGAAAAAUUCUUUUGGUCAGAAAAUUUGGUCAGAAUGGUAAAAUAACAUAUUUCACACUAUGUUUGUGGAAAAACUUUUUGGCCAGAAUAUUUGGCUAGAAUUUGGCCAGAAUGAUAUUUUAUAUAUGUUAUUUUAUCUUUUAAAAUAUUUUUAUCAUUUUAAAUUUAAUACCUUUUAACUAAAAAAUGGAAAAAAGAUCAGUUUAUUUUAAAAUAAAAAAAAUAUUAUAGAUUUUUUAAUUUUUUGGCCAAAUUUUUUGGCUAUUUAGCAUUUCCCUGUGUUUUUUUUACCUUUUAAAACAUUUUUAUGAUUUCUUUUCACAGUUUUCUAUGGUGGGAUUAUGCAUAUACAAAGAAUUCAGGAAUUUAAUGGGGGGACAUUUGCAAUAUUGACGACACACAUUUAUUUGAUUGGUGGUUGUAGUUGAUAUUCUUUAAUUUGGUUGGUAGAAAAAAUAAAUGAGAUGCUUUUGGUAAAAAAUAAGAAGUUGAGGUAAUAUUAAUGACACGUUUUUUUCGUUGAUAAAAGUGUCGAGAAAAAAUUAUUGUGUUUUGUUAAGCGUUUGAAUAUGAAAAUAAAAAAUAUUUUACUUUAUUUAGAAUUUUUAAAGUUAGAGUUGAAAUUAUGUUUGGCUAUAAUAUUUGAAUGUGCGUUACUAUAAAUAAAUAUUUUUUUCACAGUUUUCUAUUGUGGGAUUAUGCAUAUACAAAGAAUUCAAGAAUUUGAUGGAGGGACAUUUGCAAUAUUAAUGACACACAUUUAUUUGGUCGGUGGUUGUAGUUGAUAUUCUUUAAUUAGGUUGGUGGAAAAAAUAAAUGAGAUGCUUUUGGUAAAAAGGUAAAAAGUUGAGGUAAUAUUAAUGACACAUUUUUUUUUGGUGGUUGUAGUUGAUAAAAUUGUUGAGAAAAAAUUAUUGAGUUUUAAACUUUUAGAGAAACAAGAAGUAAAAAAUAACCUACAAGGGUCAAAUUGCUCUUUUAGAUAUUAUUAAUCAAAGAGAAAAGGUUAUUUUGAAAACGAAUUUCACGAUUGAUAUUUUAUAUUAAUUUCGUCCUCACACUCAUUCUAAUACAUCUCUCUUUCACUCUUACUCUAGUAGCCCAGAUCGUCACAGCACCCCCCCCCCCCCCCCCCCCCCCCCCCCCGCCCAACACACACACACACACAUUCAUCUGUCAUAGUAUUUAAUUAAUUUAUAUUCAAAUAUAAUUUUGCUUACGUGACUGAACACACAAAAAAAAACAUUUUUCAUCAUAGUGAAUACAUCCUAAAUGCUACUUUCUUUGUUCCUAUUUACUUGUCUAUUUUUGAUUUUACACAUCUAUUAAGAAAAAUAAUAAUUGACAUGAUAAAUUUAUCAUUUUACUCUUAUUAGUUGACAGACCAAAAUUAAUUUAUUCAUUACUGAGGUCUUACCUUUUUCAAAAAUAUCAAUUUUCUAAAUAAAUUGAGGAUAUAAUAGAUAAUUUUUUUUUUUUCUUGAUUUGUUAAAAAUAACAAGUCAAAAAGGAUAAAUAAAAAAUUAUAAUUAGACAAAUAAAAAGCAACAGAGAAAGUACUAGGCUAAAGAUUCGAUGUUUUCCAUCUAAAUUUUACUUUUUGUGUAUGAAUAUGGGCUAAAGAUUCAUGAUGGAAAUUAAUGUAUUCAGUCACUUUACCUUAUUUUUUAAGCUAAAAAUAAAAAAAAUAUUUUUUAAGCAAAAAAUAAAAAAUAUUUUUUAAAUCAAAAGUAAAAAAAAUAUUAAACCCAAUUCAUUUUCACCAAAAAUCACUUGCCCACCCAAUAUUACCAAAAAUCACUUGCCCACCCAAUAUUUGACUGUAAGCUCCUUUGUACAUUGAUAAACACAAGGGCUAAAGAGGUCCAAAAUGACAAGUUAAAUUCAUUUAACUACGAGGUUCGAAUUCGAAUUUUGUUGGUAACAUGUAAUCAAUUAUAUUACAUGCUCAUUAUCACCUCGUUUCAUAUCAACAAGUCCUCUUUAUUUGUCAGAAAAUCUACAUAUUUAUUUGUUUUUCUUCAGAUAUAAACGAAAUUCAUUUUGGUGGCUUCAAGCAAAUACUUACAUCUCUUAUAGUGUGUGUUUGGUAUGAAGGAAAAUGUUUUCCAUGUAAAAUGUUUUCUUGGAAAACAAGUUAAUUUUUGACUUAUUUUUUCAUGUUUGGUUGGUGAGUAAAAAAUAUUUUUCGGAAAUUUUUUUUAGUAUUUGAUUUAUGAAUGAAAAAUAUUUUUGAGAAAUAUCUUUUAUUAUUUUUAAUAGAGUAGAAAAUAAUUUUUGAAAUUGAAAAUAUUUUUUAAAAACAAACUUAAAUUUUUUUUGGGGAUGGGGGUGGAGGUGGGGGAGUUGAGGGUAGGGAUAAAAAAUUGAAAUUUUGAAGUUGGAAAUAUUUUUUAAAAACAAACUUAAAUUAUUUUUUAUUGAGGGGGCGGGGCUGUUAAUAUUCAUUUUGAUAUUUUGCACAGUUUAGAAAUUCAUUCAAAUAUAGAUAAGUUUUCUUACACGAUUAUUUUAUUAACUAGUGAUUUCGAUCCAUAAUUUUUAGAUAAUGAUAUUGUACAAUAAAUGAUUUUUAAUUUUCUAUUUAAUCUAUUUCUUAGUUUUUAAGUGGGGUGGAUAAUAUUUUUGGCAUUGAGGAAAAAUAUUUUAAAAAUAGAUAGAAACCCUAAUCUUUGGCUUCUCUCAAACAACUUUCCAGCCGCCACCCUCAAAAAACCCCCAAACCACCAGAUCUAACAAACAACAAUCCAAAUUCCACCCGAUUCUCUGAUCUCCGGCAAGCUUGAACACCGACCCAGAAAACCCAACCAAAAGCCACCACAAACCACCAAAGAUCAGCCAACCGAAACCCCAUCCCAUUACUCCAUUUUCUCAGACCCCUCACCCUCUUGUUUUCUACCUCACGCAUAGCUACUCAACCAGCGAGCCUUCGAGUUCGAAGCUCGCAACCAGACCCCUAAACGACCCCAUCUAUUUUCCGUUUUCCGGCUGGCUCCAAGCCAAAACAACACUGCUGCGACCAGCAGCUUGUACCAGACCCCUUCCCCUUUUGAUUUUUUGUUUGUUUUGCAGUGAACCAGAAGCUCCAACAGCGGUGGACAACAACCAAGCUCCGACGACAGCGAACCCAAGCCAGACCCAGCAUCAACGGAUCUCAAAACCACAACCAGCUCUAAUCUUCGCUGCCACCUGCCAUCUCCUAUCACCCUUCUUCCCUCCGUUUUGCGGUAAACCUUAUCUUCUCUCAUCAAUGUUGAUUUUUGCACUGUAUUGUUUUGUUUUGGUUCUCGAUUCAACAAUUUUAGUAUUGUUUUGUUGAGAUUUGAACUCCAUCCUCUCUGAUAAUUGUUGUUGUUGCUUGGACAUUGAUUAUUGAAAAGUUAUUAGUGAUGUUUCUUUUGUUUGUGUGCAAAAUUAAUUUAGUCUUCUUUUAAUGUUGCUAUAAGGAAUUAUGUGAAGAGAUAAGAUAGUCUUUGAUGCCAUAUAUUUUUCACUGUUACCGUUUUAAGUAGUUUUUCAAUUAAGUAUUAUUAUUAUUAUAUAUGUUUGUUCCAAUUCUAUCAUCACUAAUUAAUGUUUGGUCACUUUUGCAUGCUUUUUUUUUAAAAGUUAAAAUAAAAUAAAAUAAAAUUAAUUAUAUAGUUUUCUAUGAAUUUCCAGCAGCCAUGAAUUUUUAACAUUCUAUUUAUUUAAUUGCAUAUAUUAUGUGUUUAAUUGUUUUAAUAUUUAGUUGACGGCUUGAUAUUGGUUGUUUAACUUGGUGCAUUUAUGAUGUCUAUUGUAGUUUAUAAUAAUUUUCAUCUCGUCCGUCACUUAAUUUUGUAUAACUCCAUCUUCGUAUUCAUGAAUUAUUUUACUUUUCAUUAUUGUUGGUGUUAAAUUGAUUCUUGUUAUUAUGUUGGCAAUUUGCUGCUGUUCAAGUUUUAGUUUGCUUAUUAUUUUAUUGUUUGUUUUUGUCUAAUUUUCAUUAUUAGUCUUAUAAAUUGUUAUCCUGUUAAAAUUGACCAAUGAGAAAAUCUCUUCGUUGAUUUUUGAGGCCUCUUCAUUUUAAAAGACGAAAAUUUAGUUAAGUUCAUAUACUUUGUUUAUUAUUGGCCGAUGAAGAAAUUUUCGUCGAUUUUCAAGGCUUUCCAUGUUAAUAAGAUAUGUUUUUAUUUUGAUUUAUUAUUCAAUUCAUUUAUUUUUUAUUUGUAUUUAUCUAUCACUAACACUUUUAUUAAGUGUCUUUACAGGUACUCGGAGUUGCUUCCCAUUGAAGCUAUUCGAACAAUAUUUUUGAUUCAUUAUUGUGUAUUAUUGACGAUAGGUAAAUUUAAGCCGUUUCUUAUAUAGUUUUAUUUUAUUACUUGUGUAUAUUGUAUGUUUGUUUUUAUCUUUUCCUCAAUUUGAAAAAAAUGAACUCAAUCGGAACCCAUAAUUGUGGAUUUCGAAGUAUGCCUAUCACCUUUUUUUCGAAAUAACUUGAACUUCUUAUCUAGAAUUUUGAUUUUGUAGAUCACUUAAUGGUUUCCUAGUUUUUUUCUAAAAUUAGGUGGCGAUUUUUUUAAAAUUCGUUUAUUUUUAAAAAAUUUUUAAAAUUGAAUCAAUUGUUUAUUUUUUGAGUCACCGCGACGUUUCGCUCUAUUUGAAUAGAGUAUGGAUGUAAAUAGAGAGUUUUGAAAAAUGCUUUUCUUAAGUUUUGAAGGGAAGUCAUUUUUCUUGAAUUUGAGGAAAAUGAGUUGAUUUCGAAUACAUUUAACCCAACCAAACAUGAGAAAAUUGAAAAAUGUUUUUCGAAAAAUAUUUUCCUUCAUACCAAACACACCCAUAAUGUCCCCUUCUUUUUACGGAAACAUAAUCUUUUAUGAUCAAUUACAAAUUGAAUAAUAAUAAUUAUAUGUUUUAAAGAUUUUUUAUGUAUAAAAAUAAAGAUAUGCCGUAAAAAAGGACAGAGAACUAAAAGUAAGUUUGAACGAUUUUCCUUGUCCUCUUGAUUACUUUGAUUUUUUUUGCUUCUUCUCUGGUUCACUCCCUUUCUCUAUCAUCAUAAUCCAAUGGUUGUUAUUCUCUUGGUUCCUAUUUAGUUGUACCAUUUUAAGUUUUGCGUCUCUUAAGAUACUAUGUAAGUUAACCAUUGUAUUCCCUUGAAAUGAAUUAAUUUAUUUUGAUUAAUUAAAUUAAUCAAUGAAUAUGAAUUAAUCAUUUUGUUUUUCUAUAUUGGUCAUAUUCAUAUUUAUAAAGCUAAUAACUUUCCAAGGUAAAAUAGAAAAAAUAAUGUCAUUUAUGUAUUAGUUUUGUGAAAUGGCAAAUACUCUCUCUGUUCACUUUUAUUUGUCACUUAUUCCUAAAAUAAAUGUUUAUUUUUACUUGUCACUUUUGACAUAUUAAGAAAAGACAAUAAUUUUUUUCAAUGUUUUAUACUCAAUGUUAAAUACUUAGUAUUUUCCAAGACAUCAUUUAAUAAGGGAUAGUUUGGUAAAAUACUUAUAUCAACAAUUUUUUUCUUAAUGUUUGUGUUAACGGAUGAAGUAUUAAAAAAUAUCUAUUUUUAAUAAAUAGGACCGAAAGGAGUAUCUUCGAGACUUUGAAGUGGGUACACCAAAUUUGCCUGGAGUUAUAAAAGUGUAGAGAAAAACUUAUUGGGUUUAUUUAAACUUGUAGAGAAACAAGGAGGAGGAAAAAAGACCUAUAAGGGUCAAACUGCUCUUUUAGAUAUUAUCGAUCAAGGAAAAAAGGUAAUGUUGAAGACCUAAUCAAAUCUUUCUUUGGUCUUACAGUUUUCCCAUGUUUUUUUUUACCCAAGUGUGUGUAAUGUAUGGAGGAAAAAUAUUUUUCAAAAAAUAUUAGCUAAUUUUCCUAUGUUUAAAUUUAUAAAAAAAGAGUUUUUUAAAAAUGAGUAAAAUAAUAUUUUUAGUGGAUUCAGGGGAAACAAGUUCCACGAUUGAUAUUUUAUAUUAAUUUUAUCAUAACACUCAUUCUAAUACAUCUAUUCUUCACUCUUACUCCCCCACACCCCUAUACACACAUUCGUCAAUCAUAGUAUUUUUUUAAUUGAUAUUUUUUAAUUUGGUUGGUGGAAAAAAUAAAUGAGAUGCUUUUGGUAAAAAAAAAAAAAAAAAAAAAGUUGAGGUAAUUUUUAAAAAUAAAAUGAUAGUAAAAAGUUAGGUGUUUGCAAAAUGGCCAAACAAGGAUUUUGGAAUAAAGUGAAUAAUAUUCAUGAUCAAAUGGGUAUUAUUUUUGAAUCUGAUUUCAAAUUAAAGAUGUGUAGAAUAAAUCUUCUUUAAUCUUAUAAUUUUAAACGUAUCUGAGUAAAAAAAAAAUUCCUUUUAAAUGUACUAAGAAAGAAUAUAAGAAAGAUUAAUUGAAACAGAGGGAGUUUUCCCCUUUGAAUUUUAAGUUUGAGUUAUUGGUUGGUAAAUACUUGACUUUACUUUUGCAAUUCCCUUUCUUGAUUCAGAUCGGAGAGAAAAAUAAACUAAAUAAAAAAAUUGAAAUCGUUCAUAGGAAAUAUCACUUGAGAGAAAAAAACUUAAGUAGUAUCUAGAUACGCGCUUUUGCACAUGUACCUAAUCGUAUUAAUUAAUGAGUACAUAUAAAUUUUUAAAAAUUACAUAAAUAUAUAUUAUAACAAUGCUUUUGACUUAAUUAGAUAUUUUCUCUAUCUCAAUUUAUGUGGUAAUGUUUGACUGAGCACAAAGUUUAAGAAAUAAGGAAAGAUUUUUGUGAUGCAGUUGGAUCACACAUUAUGGAUCCAGACAUGUACAAUGCUGCAAUGAAAGGCAAAAUGGUAUAUGGAAAAUUUUCACUUGCUGAUCUGAGAAGAGUGGAAAAUAGAUACCAAGUCACUCCAAACGGAAACACAAUCCUCCAUGUGGCAGCUCUCUUUGGCCAACAGAAUUUUGUGGGAAAAGUCCUUCAGAUUAGCACAGCAUUAUUAUGUUAUAAAAAUAUGAAAAAUGAAACUGCGCUUCACAUUGCAGCUGAUUUAGGACAAAGUGAAGUGGUGAGAAAACUACUUAGCUUUGAAGGAGUGGAGACACUUGUGAGGAUGACGGAUGACAUUGGAGAUACGGCCUUGCACAAGGCCGUGAGAAGUGGACACGUUGACAUUGUCAGGAGUUUGAUGGAUUUAUUACAAAAUCCUGCACACGACUUCCCGGCCAAUAAGGCUGGGGAGACACCACUUUAUCUGGCCGCGGAGUCUGGUUUUCAUGAUGCUUUGAUUGAAAUCUUGAACGUUUGCAAGGAACCAACUUAUGUUACAGGUCCACUCAAUCGAACACCUCUACAUGCAGCCGUAUUUCAAGAACACACAGGUCAGUACGUUAUUUAUCCUUAAGAAUUUAAGUCCCAUAUAUAUUUGCUGUAUGAGUUUUGUGUUAGAAUUCCCCAAGAUUUUGUAUUUACAAAGUCAACCCAUUUCCAAAUUUAGCAAUAACUUGAAUUUCCUACAAGAACAAGGGUGUGAAUAUGUGAUUUUCUUCUGAAGCCGUUAGAAAAAUUAAAAUUGCUGACUUAUGAGCGAUUUUGUCCAAAAAAAAAUUCCUAUUUUUUUAAGAAGAGGUAGCGAUUUAAAAAAUAAAAAUAAAAUCGCUGCUAUGACAGCAUUUUUAUAAAAAAAAAUAUUUUGAAAAUUAAAAUAUCUCUCCAAAGGUAAAUUUUUCUUUUAUUUUUUUACUGAAAUCGUUGCCUUUUAAAUUAUUUUUUUUUACUGAAAUUUGGCAGCGAUUUUUAAGAAUUUUUUUUUCUAAAAUCGCUACUUUGGAGUGAUUUUCGAUUUUUUGUUUAACGGAGUAACGGCGUCAGAAAAAAAUCGCUAUGUCGGGAGCAAUUUUUCUCUUUUGAUUAAAAAAAGUUGAUGUGGGUCUUUUGAAAUUUUUGGCAAUUUUUUUUGCCCUUUAGGCUCCGUACUCGUGAAUAUGUUAUAUGAAGAGAUCAAGCUGAAAAGUAAUCGGUGUUAGUCAAAUCCUGAUAAAAUUUGUGUAUAUAUGUUAGAAUGAAAAAGACAAUAUUAUUUUUUUAAUCAAAAGCCAUCUUUAGGGUGGGGGGUUAGGCAUGAGCCCUACCUUGUAUAUUGAAUAAAUUAGGAGGACAUAACAAAAUACAUGAGCAAGAGAGAUAUGAUGUCUAACCUCUCCAAAAAGAUUAGAAUGUUAUAGACAUGUCCAUAAUUAUGUAGUUUAAUAUCAACAUCUUGCUAUUGGCAUGAAGUUUAAAUUUACAGGGGAAAUUCAAAUAUAUACCAACAAAAGGGAUCCCCUCUUGAAUAUUCUUUAGGCUAUGAAUUAAAAAGCCAAGAGAAAUUAGCUUAAAACACAUGCAUCAUCAUGAAAAAUCUCAUGGUUCUUUUUUUCCCUCACUUGGAAAGCUAGAAAUUUUCUGUUUGUCCAUGUUUAGAAAGCCUCGCACUAGUUGAGGGAUGUUGUCGCUGGAUAGAUAUACCCACGUGCUUUGUAAGCUCAAGUUAGCUAGCUUGUAUGCAACCUGAUUUGCUUCCCUAUAACAAUGGUUAAUAUACCAAUCUAUACCUUGAAUGAUUAAAGGCGCUAACCGCCAAGAAAUUUUAUAGACGUCUUUAAUGCAAGAUAGUAGCAUUAAAGAGUCAGUUUCCAGUUGAGGUCGAGAAACUCCAUUAAGCUUGCACCAAUGAACGCCAUAUAAUAGUGCCUUUGUCUCUGCCCCCAUAAAUUGUACAAAGAAUGCUAUAAUGAGUUUGCCUUCCCAUUUAUGACUAUGCCUCCACAACCACAUUUAUCCGCUUCCAUUACUAUUGAGCUUAUAGACACGAGUGAUGGGCGGUGUCCAGGAGACAAGUUUACAGACUUUAUUCACAAUUUUCUUAUCUGUAGCCAACAAAAUCAUUCUAGGAGAGAGUUUCUGAACUGCUGCUUCACAGACAACAAAACAUUCUGAUAAAUUAGAUGCAUUAUUUUAGGGAGAAACAAUGUUUUGCUACCAUACACAUUGUUGCAUCUGCUCUUCCCAAAUAAUAUGGUUUGGGAUGAUUUUAAUAAUAAUAGUUGUAAUGCUAUUACAAAAGUGAUGACUCCACCAAUUGGAUAAGAGAGAUAUCAGGGAGUUAGCAUUUCUUCUAAUUCCAAAGGUGGAGCAAUAGUGAUUCCAUAAAGCCUUUACCAGUGUACCAUUAUAGAAAACAUGAUCAGUGCAUGUCUUCUGAUUGUUGAAUCCGAAAAGGAAACUUUAAAAGAAACCUCUUUGAGCCAUAUUUUGGUCAAGGGUGAUCUUUCCUGUCUAGUAGAUCUGAAGAAGUUCCAGACACUGCAACAUUAAAGGAUUUUGAAGUGGUGAGUUUCCAAAUAGGAAGGUCAUCUUCCUCUUUAAGUUGACGUAUAUGAAGGCUAAUGAUACGGUAUUUAAUAGCAUCUGAAACCUCUCCACAUGAAUUCCAAUUCCGGUUAUGAACAUGAAACAUAUCUUUGAUACCAAUUCUGCUAGGCUUAGAUCCUUCAGGUAAGAAUUUGUAAAGUGCACCUAAUUCACUCCAACUAUAUCAUAUCAAAUGAGAUUUGUCUUCUUCCUAUUUUCUAGGAGAUAUUGAAUUUAUGGAGCAUAGAUUUUUUUAGUUGCGAGAGUGAACCUUGGUACUAUUCAUGAUCACAGGGUGGAACUUAGCACAAUACUUGGCCUUCAUAAACAAAGUCCAAAGAGAAUUUACAGUCCUAAAUCUUCACCAUUGUUUAACACAGAAAGCUUUACAAAUGUCGCUAAGUUGCUUGAAAUUGGCUCCACCUCUAUGAAUGGGAAGGAGAGAGGUUGUUCCAAGAAACCCAAUGAUGUCUUUUAGUACUAUCUGAACCAUUCCAAAAAAAUCUAUUCAAAGCUUUUUCAAUGAUAUUAUAGAUUGUUUCUGGAGGUUGCAUAACAACCAAGAGGUGGUAUGACAUGGCUGGAAGAACAUGUUUUAUGAGAAGUUAUUUUCUUUCUCGUAUAUAGAGGAAAACCAAGAUAGUUGAUGGGGAAGGACUCUUUCUUCAUGCCAGUAAUAAGUUUAGCUUUGUUGGUCCUUUUUAAACUGACGAAUAAUGGAGCUUUUGUGUUUGUUAAUUUGUUGGCCGGAAACAUCUUCAUAAGCUCUUAGAGUUCUCAUCAUCAUCUUCUUUAAGGAUUUUCUUGUGUGGCUUGUAAAUAUAAUAACAUCAUCUACAAAAUACAAAUGGUUAAUCUUAUACAGUAACUUUUUUUUUCCAUAAAAAUAUUUAUAAUACCUUUAGAUAUUUGUUAAGUCAAUUAUAAAUAUAAACACUUGUGAAAAAUGUAUUAACACAUAGGUGACUUGGUCAUACAUGCUAAACUUCGUUUACAUUACAAAAUAUUACUUUUUCAAAUAUGCGAUAUAAUACAAAAUAGAAGAAGUUAUAUUUGUUUCUCUAUUAUUGAAAAUAAGUCAAUACUAUUUUUCAGUUGUUAUACUUUUCAACAAUUAUACCUUUACAAUAAUACUUUAAAGUUACAUUUACCCCUCACCCGUUAACAUUAGCUAUACUUCUAUCCUAUUGAAACUUCAUUUUCAGCUUUAGAAAGUCACAUGUCAAGCUCUUGUUGAAUGAAAAAAUAUCAUGAUAAUUGUAAUAUUUGACAUAUUUAUAUAACCAGAAUGCGCGAGAGAACUGUGGGAAUGGAAUAAACCUUUAUGCGAACAACCUGAUGAUUGUGGUUGGAAUUCACUGCACUACCUCUACUUGUAUAACUUACACUCGGUAUCUUUCCUUCUCUUUUUCUUUUUUCAAUUGUUCACUCAACGUGUACAAAGCUUUAUGAAAGAUGAAAGAAUAUUACAAUAUAAGUUCAAGUAAAGUUUCGCACUUUUAUCUGUUGAUCCCGGGUCCUUAUUUAUAUGUUGAGUAGUGCGGUGAUUUUUGCUCUAACACGAAAACCCAAGGGAGUUUCCUUCAACUAAGGAUUUGUAACGUUUCCUUGAUUGAGAAUGAUUUUUCUUUAAUCAGGUUGCAUCGUUGUUUCCUCUGCCUUGAAACAGAGUUUGGUGUGGAUUUGAAUCGCUUGAUUUGAAUCGCAGUUUGAUCUUCCAAGAUCAUAGUGUGAUUUGCCUUGAUCUUCUUGUUAUCUUGUGAUUUGACUGGUUCUCGAGUGCCGACCACGUCCAGGGUGUAGGCUCGGAUCAUGACAUAUCCUCUCAGUGGUACUUCACCAUAAUUGACACCUCUGUCAGCUUGAUGUUAACAAUGUGUUUCUCUAGAAAAACCUGAAAGAGGAGGUGUACAUGGCACAACCUCCGGGGUUCACUAAUAAUGAUAAACCAACUCACAUAUGUCGGCUGUGCAAGACAAUCUAUGGAUUGAAACAAGCCUCGCAGGCAUGGUACAAUGCCUUCACAAGUUAUCUUUCAUCCACAAGUUUUUUUAAGACGAAAUCAGAUGCUUCGCUACUUGUCAGACAAGGUCUAGGUGAGACAACCUUCGCCCUUGUCUAUGUCAACGACAUUAUUGUCACUGGAAGCAACACUUUUCGUGUCGAUCAAGUUAUCGCUUCAGUUGCUUCUCAAUUCUCUAUGAAAGACUUAGGAAAUCUUCACUAUUUUCUUGGUGUUUAAGUUAUACGCAUCUCUGACAACUUAAUUCUCAUCCAAUCAAACUAUGUGAAUGAGAUUCCGAAUGAUGAGCUAAUGACCGAUUGCAAAAGUGUCCACACACCAAUGAGUGCAUCUGAGCUACACACAUUGUCUGAUGGCCCUCACCUUACUAAUACAACACGCUAUCAUCGGGUCUUCGGCAUGCUUCAAUACCUGUCUUUUACUAGACCAUACAUCGCCUAUGCGAUGAAUAAGUUAUCCCAAUUUAUGAAUGCAUCAUCAGAACUUCAUUGGAAAGUUGUAAAGCGUGUUCUCCGUUACUUGUGUGGAACUAUCUAGCUGGGCCUACAUGUAACCCCCAUCGAGGACUUCAAUGCAUGUAUACUCUGAUGAUGCAGAUUGAGGUUGGGACAUCUCUGAAGAGUUUCCACAUCUGGGUACAUCAUGCUCCUUUGUAUCAAUCUGAUUCUAGUCCUCGAAGAAGCAAAAUAAUGUCUCUCGCUCCUCCAUUAAAUCUGAGUAUAUGGCAGUUGUUAAUGCCCUUUCUGAAAUCCUGUGGGUUACCAAUCUUCUCACUAAGCUGCGUUUUUCAGUGCAUCAGUUGCCUACCAUUUAUUGUGACAAUCUUGGGGUCACAUUCAUGAGCAAAAAUCCUAUCCUCCAUAGCAGUGUGAAGCACAUUGCAGUUGAUUUUCACUUUGUUCACCACAAUGUAUACAUAAAAAGAAGUUCAGGCUGUUCAUGUCCAUGGUGCCUAUCAAAUCGCUAACACUCUCAUCAAGACACUGCAUAAACCUGCUUUCCAGCAAAAUCUAUUCAAGUUAGGCUCAGUGUCCCAUUGUCUAACUUGAAGGGGCGUAUUUGACACAGAACGACUCAGCCCUGUUAGUUCAGUUUUCUUAGGAUACUGCAUAAAUCAGUCAUUGUUUAUUUAUAUUACGUUAUUAGUGCUUGUUUAGGAGUCUUCUUAUUCUCUUCGUAAUUCAUUUUAAUACUCCUUUAUGUUCAUUAAUAAAAGUAUCUUCUUUCAACACUUGCUCAAUAUUUAUAGUUCUCCUAUAUAUGCUUUAGUGAAAAAAGUUAUUUCUCUUUUAUUGGUAAUCAAAGAAAAGUUUAAGUGUUUAAAUAAGAAAACGCCUUUUACUUUUUGUUAAAAUUUUUGUAAAGAGGGAUCCCUCGUGGUAUUGUCGCUUACUCGGACUCUGGCAACAAUCGCCUCCCUGCAUCAUCUCAUGGUUUAAACUCAAACCCUAUAAUUUUUGUGUGUAUAAGUAAAACAUGAUAUUCAUGUCUUUAUUUUUGGCUUUAUAUAAUAAUGUUGUCAUUUAACCUUUGUUUUGAUAGUAAUAUAAACAACUUUUGUUGGCCCGUUUUCUUUUCUUACAUCUGCCUCUUGUGUGAAAGACAAAACUCUUUAUAUUAAUUUUUUUUUUUUUUACGCUUUAUACGUGUACUUGAACGAGUAUGUAAGUUUUAAAAAAAUUGGAUAAAUGCAAUGCUUUUGACUUAAUCAUUUGUCUAACAUUGUUUGGUUGGGCACAGAAUUUGAGAAAUAAGAAGACUUUUGUGACACCUUGGAUAUAUCCACACAUAAUGGAUCUAAACAUGUACUAUGCUGCAAUGAAAGGGAUUAUGGAAAAUGGUGAUUUUUCACUUGUUGAUCAUCUGAAAAGGGAGGAAUUAGAAAAUGGUUACCAAGUCACUUCAAAGGGAAACACAAUCCUCCAUGUGGCAGCUCUCUUUGGCCAACGAGGUUUCGUGGGAGAAGUCCUUAAGAUUACCCCGGCAUUAUUAUGCUAUAAGAAUAAGAAAAAUGAAACUGCGCUUCACAUUGCAGCUAAUGUAGGACAAAGUGGAGUGGUAAGUGAACUACUUUGCUUUGAAGGAGUGGAGACACUCGUGAGGAUGACGGAUGACAUUGGAAAUACGGCCUUGCACAAGGCCGUGAGAGGUGGACACACUGACAUUGUCUGGAUGUUGGUGAAAUUAUUACUAGAUCCUGAACACGACUUCCCAGCCAAUAAGGCUGGGGAGACACCGCUUUAUUUGGCAGCGGAGUUUGGUUUUCAUGAUGCUUUGAUUAAAAUCUUGAACGUUUGCAAAGAACCAACUUAUGUUGCAGGUCCAUCCAAUCGAACACCUCUACAUGCAGCCGUAAUUCAAGAACACACGGGUAAGUACCUUCUGGAUGAUUUCAUCAUAUAUAAUAUGGAAAAUGAUUAAAUUUGUCCCUCUACUAAUAGAAAGAAGCUAUAUUUGUCUUUGGUUAAAAAAAAUUCAAUAAAUAUACUCCUACAGGCAUACUUUAUGAUCUUGUUAAACGAAAAAAUCAUUCAUUUAUCAUCAUAUAUCAUAUAUAAUAUUUGACUAAUAUAUCUAGAAUGCGCGAGAUCACUAUGGCAAUGGAAUAAACCUUUAUGCGAAGAAGCUGAUAAAUGGGGUUGGAAUUCACUGCACUAUGCUGUUAAACAAGGAUUGAAAGAAAUAAUUUCCGAUAUGUUGGGAUGGAAGAAAUCUUUAUCCUACCUUCCGGCUGGCAGUGAAAAUGAUUGGACGACAGCAUUUCACAUUGCAGCUAGUGAAGGUGAUGUAUUGAUGAUAUAUGAUUUAUUAAACCACUGCCCAGAUUGUUGGGAAAUGCUUAAUUGCAAUGGCCAAAAUGCACUUCAUGUUGCCUUAUUGAACGAUCACGAAAUGUUUGUCCAUGCCUUCCUUGGGUCUGGAAUUUGUGAUAGCCUUGUUGAUGAGGCAGAUAAUGAGGGCAAUACUCCACUCCAUUUGCUUGCUGCCUCUGGGAACCGUGUGCCUCAAAUGAUAUUAGACCAUCCUAGCGCAAAGAAGAUGACAUUUAACAACAAAAUACAGACUCCACUUGACAUAGCAUUGUCUCGUACAUGGACAAUAAAGAAGGUACUCCCUCUUGUCCAUGACGGACUGGAUCGGUUUUCCCCAUUUCUUUGAACUUACUCAGUCCGUUGGUUUCCUUUUUUUUUGUUAAUCAACAAUGUAAAUAAGAUUAGCAAAAAUUAUAGAAUUAGAGGGGGACAUGGCAACCUAACCUCUAGACACAAAAAGAGAGCAUAGAGAGGAGUUAAUGCUCCAAAGAGAUCUUGUCUAAGACUAAGUUCUGGCACAUUGAAUUGCUAUAGAAGUAAUCAGUAGCUUUAGCCUAAACAUACUGGCAUCUACAACAGUAAGAGAAUCAUGGGGGCUCGUAGCGCUAAGAAGAGUGUUUUUUUGCUUGUUUUCGAGAGGACGGGAGCUGGAUCUUAUCAAUUCAAAUGGGGACAAUAGCCUCCUUAGCAAGGUCUUCUUUAUGUAGGAAAAUUUUAUCGGGUGGUGGCAUGCUUCGCAAGAGCAUCUGCGACUCAGCAUGCUUUGUCACGAUUCCUUUAUUUCUGUUAUUGAACUGCUUUGAUCUGUUUUUCAUCGAGCCAAGGGUCUACCGGAAACAACUUCUCUACCUCCGGGGUAGGGAUUAUAAGGUCUGCAUACACCGACCUCCGGAGUAGGGAUUACACUGAAUAUAUUCUUGUUGUUGGUAAAGAUAAAAACUAGAGUAACAAUGAAUUAAAUAAGAAAAAAAAAAAAUUUCCUUCUUUGAUAGUAGAAAAAAAAGUUCAAGUGUUUAAAUAAGAAAACACUUUUAUUUUUUCUAAGAAGGACCUCCUCACACUGUCGUCGCUUACUCAACUCUCGGGCUCUGGCAACAAUGGCAUCCCUGCAUCAUCUCAUGAUAUAGUAAUAUACUAAACAACUUUUGUUGGUUCGUUUUCUUUUCUUACAUUUGCCUCUUCUGUGAAUGACAAAACUCUUUCUAUUAAUUUUAUUUUUUAAUUGGAUGCGUAAAAAACUUGUGAAAAGAUAUGAGUUCCCACACAUGAUAAACCAUCUCUUGAAGGCAAAAUUGGUCGAUUUUCCCCUUGUUUGUGAGAUAUACAUGAGACCUAAUUCAAAUUCAGAUACACUAUAAAUGCGUACCAUAUCCUUGUAAACUUUUUAAUUGUCGUAAUUCCCAAUUAAUUUUUCUUUGCGCGUUUUUAUUCCAGGUCUAUAUAAGCACACCUCUAGUGAAUAAGAUACAUAUAAAAAAUUCUCCUUUUUAUGCAUAUUCCCUAAUUUUCAUUAACAGGCGUAGGGAGAAAUUAGUUAAAACGAUUACAUCAUAGUCAGAUCAAAAUUACGACAACACUGUGUUCAAUAUCAAUAUUGUUGAAUUUUUCUAAUAUAAUAGUUCAAAUCAAUCUAUAAAAGUUUGAGAUCACCAAGUAGUCAAAAUUUACUCUUUUUUAUGUUGUUGACGGAUGUCGCAUUAAAUUUUAUAGUUUAAAUUCAGUUAAAUAGAGAUAAAAAUAGUAAAAGUAAUACUAAAAUAAUAGUACUAAAUUAUGUUGGAACUGCUAUGAUUUGAAGAUCAAUUUAAGAUUCAAAAGUUUAUGAGCUUUACAUAAAUUUCAAGUUAGUAUCACAAUAAUAAUUGAUUUCUUAAUUAAAUAUUUAUAAAUAUUUAAUUUAUAUAUUUGGACAAAAAAUAUUAAAUUUAUAUGAAAUCGUAACUAAGCUUCCAUAUCCUCCCCAAAUUACUAUAUAACUUAUUUCAUCUAGGAGAUGAAAUUAAAUAAUACCAAGUUGGAUGAUUAAGAUGGAAUAUUUAGGAUCAAAGUUGAGAUUAAAUGUAUACCUUCAAUCAAAAAAUAUAAUUUUAAUCAUGAGAUAUCUUAAGAUAAUUAGAUCCAAAGUAUAUUGAAUUAUUGAUGAGUGUAGUUCAUUUUUAUUAAUAUUUUUUACUUAUAUAUAUAGAGACAAUAUAACUUUUUGUUGUCAUCAUUAGAUAUUAUAACUUGUAGCAGGAUACUUUUUUUUAAGAAGUAAUAUCAAACUUUUUUGGAAGGAGUGGAGAGGGGGCGAGGUCUGAAUUUUUUUAAAGUAUUUAUAAAUAAAAUUGAAAAAAUCGAAGGACGGGUGAUUAUCGGGGGAGGGGGUGGGUAGGAGAUGGUGGAGUGGAUUGAUAAUAUUUAUNNNNNNNNNNNNNNNNNNNNNNNNNNNUAUAUAUAUAUAUAUAUAUAUAUAUAUAUAUAUAUUUGGAAUAGUUAUACUAUAUAAUUUAGUUUUUAACUAAUAUUGAUAGUUUAUUUAUUUUUUAUCAAAGUGAAAUGCUAUGUCUAUGUGGUAAAAUUUUGCAAACGGAAAAGGGUCAAAAAUAUCCUUAAACUAUCUGAAAUAGCUCAUAUUUACCCUUAAACUAUAUUUCGGCUCAAAACUACCCUUCCCGUGAAACUAUUGGGUCAAAAGUACCCUUCUUAUUAACGGAAGUUGUUAAAUGCCAUGUGAAUGCCACAUUGCAUGCCAAUACUAAUUACUUUUUUUUUCCACGGCCACAUAGACUAAAUCCCUAAAUCCUAAUUACUCUUUUUUUUUUCCCUCAUUUCAUUAUUUUCCAGAAACAAUUUCAUCCAUUCUCCCUCAUAUUCUCCCCAAAUUACUAUAUAAUUUAUUUCAUCUAGGAGAUGAAAUUAAAUAAUACCAAGUUGGAUGACUAAGAUGGAAUAUUUAGGAUCAAAAUUGAGAUUAAAUUUAUACCUUCAACCAAAAAAUAUAAUUUAAAUUAUGAGACAUCUUAACAAAUGAUCUUUAAAAGUACCAAAACGUCAGAUAAUUAGAUUCAAAGUAUAUUGAAUUAUUGAUGAGUAUAGUUCAUUUUUAUUAUAUUUUUUACUUAUAUAUAUAGACAAUAUAACUUUUUGUUGUCAUCAUUGGAUAUUAUAACUUGUAGCAGUAUACUUUUUAUUUUUUUUGGUUUUGCUAUUUUUAUUACUAAUGAACUUAAAACUUAACUUGUAGCAGGAUUACUUUUUAUUUUUUUGGGUUUUGCUAUUUUUAUUACUAAUGAACUUAAAACUUAACUUGUAGCAGGAUACUUUUUAUUUUUUUGGGUUUUGCUAUUUUUAUUACUAAUGAACUUAAAACUUAACUUGUAGCAGGAUUACUUUUUAUUUUUUUGGGUUUUGCUAUUUUUAUUACUAAUGAACUUAAAACUUACAUCGGUAAGUUGUAUCUCAAUCUGCACAGCUCCUGGUACAUCGGAAGAAGCCAGAAACAGAGGAUGAUCAUGAUCGAUCUUUUUCGACAUUGAUCAGGAAUUUUAAGCUACAAAAACAGAAAUUAGAAUGACAAUUCUCAACCCGUAAGCUCUGAUACCAUGUUACAAACUGAAUUCUAAUCACUCAAUCAUAAUUGAAUCACAGUAGAAGAAUAGAUCUCAAUUUCAUAUCAACGCCUCAAAGAUUUACAUAGUUUUACACUGUAUAUUUUCUAACUAACUCCAGAUGGAUCAUAUUAUAUAUAUACAUGUACUAAUUGACUUAUUUACAGUAAAGUCAUCUUCUAGAAUAUUCUUAACAGCCUAACUAACUUUCACGUCAAGUUAACUGACUAAUAAUAGACUAAUAACAAUCUUCAGUCAGCUGUUUGCAAUCUCUUUGUUAUAAUCUCUAAUAUAUUUCAACAAAACCCAAUGUUUGAUUUCUUUAGGACUCAAUAAAGGUAGCCAUGUGUUUGUCCAAAAAAGUGUACCAUGAGUCUACUUACUUACACUUUGUUUGGAUGAUUGUAACAUAUUGUUUCAUAAUAUAUCAUACUGUAUUGUUGUAAUUAAUACAUUGUUCCCUUUCACCCUCCUCUGCAUCAUCUCAUGGUUGUCUCUCUUGUUUUACUUAAACUGAUCUACCAUUCUUGCUGUGUCUAAGUAGAGCAUGAUGUUCAUAACUUAAACUCCUUUAAUGCAAAUUUUCAAUCACAAGCGUAGGGAGCAAUUAGUUAAAUCGAUUAAAAUUACUUUCAAUAAACUGACUUGCCACAGCAUUGCAUUCAGUAUCAAUAUUGAUUAUAGUCGGAAAAUACCCUACUUCAUUUUUAUCACAAGGACAAGUAAAUUUUGGAGAGUGAGUUAUCUAUAAUGACGAAUCGUUGACCGAUUUUUUGAGGGUUCCAAAUGACUAUAUAGAUCAAAUCAAGUUAACAAUACUUGAAAUCUAUGUUAGAAAGGAGCCUAAGACUAGUCAACAAUGUUCUCUUUUAUCGGUCGAUGUCCAUCCAUAAUUAGAAAAUCGUAAUAGCGUUGAUGGAUUUUCAAUAACUCAAUCUACCAAUUUUUCUAAUAUCUAAUUUAUGCAAUUUGUAGGGUCGGAUUGUUGUGUUGUUCGGUUGUGCUACUCCAAUCUUUCAAGAUUUUGAUUUUUUAGUGUGGGGUCGCUUUAGUUGUCGGAUUGGGACCAUCAAAUUAACAUCUUCGAAGUGAAAAAACGUUUGGAAGAUGAAAGUGAACCAUGAAAGUGAAAGGGGAGACAAAGAAAGUGAAAAGGUAAAGUAACUUUUCUUAAAGUGUAAAAUUUUCUUCCACUUUAUAAAGUGUAAGAAAAACUUCCACUUUACAAAGUGUAAUAAAUAAUUUCGUUUUACAAGGUGUAAAAAAUAGUUCCGUUAUAUAUUAAAAUAUACACGUUAUGAGACUAACGGAAAACAUUUGGAAUAUUGCAUAAAACGGAUUUUUUUCUUCCACUAACCCUAUUUUAGUUAGUUACUAGAAUAAUGACUUAUUUUGGUCACUUUUAUCUUUUUGUUGCUUAUUUAGGUUCCAAACUCCAAAUCUUGUCCUGCAUUUUCCAACAAGCUAUUUUCAUGUCUCGAACCAAUAUAUAAAAUAAAUCCAAUUGAAGAAACAAUGAAAUAUACAAAAAGAGUUCACUGCUUGAAUAGUUAACAAAGUUAUUUAAAAUAAAUGAACAAAGUCUUUUUCCCUCCUUUUUUUUUGGUAGGGCCGCACCAAUGCAGUAUGAUAUAAGUUCAACCAUUUGGGUCGGGUUUCGGCGGGCACCCCUCCAAAUUGCAAUGGUAGUUACCAACGUAAACCAUGACCCUUAUUGAACCCCCAUUGACUUAGUUCAGUAAAUGCAAUAGAAGUCACCAACCUAGGAUAUUUUUUAAUAAUAUAAUAUAUCACUUAUCUUUUAUUCAUUUUUUUAAAAAGGGCAUUAAAGGAGGAAAUUGAUAUGUUCAGCCACUUUACCUUAUUUUUUAAGCCAAAAAUAAAAAAUAUUAAACUCAAUUCAUUUCAACCAAAAAUCACCUGCCCCGCUCACUACUUGUUCUCUUCUUAAUUAUUUCCAACAUGAUUUUUUGAUACUAUAUUUGAUUUACAUGUUUGAUUUUUUAUAUGCUUUACUUGAGCCAAAGUCCGAGGGUCUAUAAAAACAUCCUCUCUUCAUUCAUAAAAUAGGAGUAAGACUACGUAUGCACCAUAUCAAACUCCACUUGUAAAGGGAGUAGUAUACAUUGGUAUUGUAUUCCCAAUCUCUGAUGAACCAGAGCAAACCAAGAAGAAACUCUUAAAAGCUCUUGCCUUUUGGGCUCAUUGACCCAAUAAACAUACUUUGUAGUCAUGCCCAAGUAGCCACCAAAUACUUGGCCCAAAUAUAUAUAUUAAAUUAUGGUAGAUUAUAUGAUUUAGUAUAAAUAUAUUGAGAGCAAAAUAAGUACAACUUUUUUGUAUGUUCAAGAUUAUUUAGUGAAUUUGUGUUGAACUUGAAAAAAUCUAGAAUGGUAGUUAUUCUCCAAAAUAUGAUUGUUUAUUUUGAGAACUUCUACUAUUCAUGUUUAAGAAAUCAAACUAUUCAAGACUUUCCUUUUCCCCCAAAUUAUACCUACUAAAAUAAAAGGUCAAAAUGUCAAGAUUAGACCUGAAAGAUACAUUGAAAUAGUGUAAAACUUAGGUUCAAUCAAAAAUUAGAUGUUCAUAAUCAUAUCGACCUAUAUUAACAAGUCUUCUUCAUUUAUGGACUUCAUUUGUCAGAUAACCUACCUAUUUGUUUGCUUCUCUCUGAAUAUGGAUGAUAUUCAUCUUGGUGGCAUCAAGUAAAUACUUGCAAUCUCUUAUGACGUCCUUUCUUUUAUGCGGAAAUAAUCUCUUCUGACCAAUUACAAUUUGGAUAGAAAAAAAUGACCGCAUUUAGAUAUUUUAUAUAUAGAAAAUAAAGAUCCAUCACAAAAGAAACAUAAAACUAAAAACAAAUUUUGGACUAUUUUCUUUGUCCUUUUUUAUUGCUUAAUAUUUUACUUCCUCUCUGUCUCACUCCAUUUAUCUAUCAUCAUAAUCCAAUUGUUGUUACUUGUUAUCCUUGAGACUUGAAGUGGGUCCAUCCUAUCAAUUUCCUAGCCAAUAAUAAUAUGCCACGUGUAUGAACAUGUGAUAAUUAAGGCAACAUCAAAAUUCCCUAAUUGAGUCAUAAAGUGUGAGAAUGCCAUAAGAAAUUAUUGUAUUAUGUUAUGUUCUUACCAACUAAGGAAUCAAAGAAUCUUUGUUGGGUUUUAGCGUUGUAGAGAAACAAGAAGAAGAAAAAAACACCUAUAAGGGUUAAACUGGUCUUUUAGAUUUUAUCAAUCAAAGAAAAAAAAGGUAUGUUGAAGAGCUACCUAAUCAAAUCUUUCUUUAGUUUUACUGUUUUCUCAUGUUGGGUUUUACCUAAAUACUCAUUUUUUCCAUCUGGGGUUUACUUUUUGUGAAUGAAUAUGAGUUAAAGAUGGGAUUUUUAGUACAUAGUGUUGAAAAAAGAUUGUGUUUUUAUCUUGGAGUGAGAAAAUGUGUAUUUAACUUUGUUGAGUACUAUUUCCUCUUUUCUAAUUUCUUUGUGUUACUUUAAUUUGUUCCAGUUUAAGAAAAUAAGCAAGACUUUUGAAUCUUGUGUUAUUAAUGUUGUAGAACGUAUGAAAAUGUCAUUUAAUUUCUCUUACUUGAAAAAAAAGCUGAGGUUUUUUCCCCUUUGAAAUUUCAGUUUGAGUCAUUGGUUGGUAACUGGACUCUUAAUUUAGAUUGUUGAUCUUAUUUUUGGAUGUUAUGCAUAAUUUCUUUUGGUACAUUGGAAAGAAAAAUAGACUACAUAAAAAAAAAAUUAAAGUUGUUCAUUAGCAAUAUGCUUAAGUUCGCUAGGAGAAGAAACUUUAUGUUCUUAAUAGUAUUACAGGGCCUCUUCAUGAUUGUGAUUCUCCAUAAACAAGUAGUCUCUGGAUAUACAUAUUAAUGAGUAUAUAAAGUGACACUUGAACUUGUUUCGAAUUUUCAAAAAGAUAUCUUAAUUAUGCGAGCGUCCUAUUACCCAUUAAACAAUCUUGAACUGAUAUUAUUACAUUGUCCACUUCACAUAGAGAGCGUGUGAACUCUCUCAAAGAGGGUGAGCAAUCUAAAAUAACUAAUAUAAUUUUAUUUUUACAAGUAUUUUAUUAUAAAAUAUGUUGAACUGAUAUUAUUACAUUGUCCACUUCACAUAGAGAGCGUGUACACUCUCUCAAAGAGAGUGAGCAAUCUAAAAUAACUAAUAUAAUUUUAUUUUUACAAGUAUUUUAUUAUAAAAUAUGUUUUCUUAUUUUUCUUAUUAUUUUAACUUUUUUUCCUUUUUAUUUUUUCUCUUUCUUUCUUCUUUCUUCUUCAAAAAUUCAUUGUCAUUUUUAUUGAAGCUUCUCACUUUCAAUGUCACCAUUUUUACCACAACUUCACCUUUCUUUUGUUUUUUACUACUAUUAGUUUUACUCUCUUUAAUUUUAAAACUUUAUCUAAAUAUUUUCUUACAUUUCGAACAAUUUGAUAAACCCAUUAAAUUUCAAGAUGAUUAGGAAAUAUCAUAUAAUUUUUUUUAUCCGAUUCCAAUUAAGUUCUUUCAAUUUUCGGAAAAUUCAUUGAUUCUUUUAAAAUUAUAAUUUAUAAUUUGAAGUUAUAUGAAAAGGAGUAAUUGAUGAUACCUUCAAAAUUUUAAAUUUUCUUAGAAAAAUAAUUAGUUUUGUUAUCAAUAAUUCAAUAAAGUCUAGAAAAUAGUAUGAUUUUAAAAAUCACUGAAAUAAAGAAUUUGACUGAAGAAGAAGAAAAAAAAAUAAAAAAUGAAAGAGGGUUCAACUUGACGUGGGGGGUGGGGUGACGGUGAGAGAUGAAGAAAAAGAAAGAAAAUGAAAUUUAAGAUGAAAUCAAAAUUAAAAUAAGUCAAAAGUAAGAAAGAGAGAAAAGGUAAAGAAAAAACUUAAAAUGAAAAAAAUAUAUUUUUAAUUAAAUUAACACGUGUCAUGUAAUGAUUGGUGUGUGAACACACUUGCUUCUUAAAAUCUGAGGCUGAUCGAAAAAUAAUAUAAUAAUAUCUGUUCAAAAUUGUUUAGUAGGGUAAUAAGACGGUUGCAAAGUUAAGAUAUCGUUUUGAAAAUUCGGGACAAGUUAAAUAGUGAAUUUAUGUCUUUUCUCUUUUAAAAAAUUACAUAAAUGCAAUAUAACAAUGCUUUUGACUUAACUAGAUACUUCAUUUGUCUCACAUAAAAGAAACAAGGAACUUUUGUGACACCUUGGAUAUCCACACAUAAUGGAUCCAAGAAUGUACAAUGCUGCAAAGAAAGGGAGUACUAUGGAAGAUGGUGAUUUUUCACUUGUUGAUUAUCUGAAAAGGGAGGAAGAAAAUGGUUACCAAGUCACUCCAAAGGGAAUACAAUCCUCCAUGUGGCAGCUCUCUUUGGCCAACGAGGUUUCGUGGGAAAAGUCCUUAAGAUUACCCCGGUAUUAUUAUGCUAUAAGAAUAAGAAAAAUGAAACUGCGCUUCACAUUGCAGCUAAUUUAGGACAAAGUGAAGUGGUGAGUGAACUACUUAGCUUAGGAGGAGAGGAGACAAUACUCGUUAGGAUGACGGAUGACAUUGGAGAUACGGCCUUGCACAAGGCUGUGAGAGGUGGACACAUUGACAUUGUCAGGAUGUUGGUGAAAUUAUUACUAGAUCCUGAACACGACCUCCCGGCCAAUAAGGCUGGGGAGACACCACUUUAUUUGGCAGCAGAGUCUGGUUUUCAUGAUGCUUUGAUUGAAAUCUUGAACGUUUGCAAAGAACCAACUUAUGUUGCAGGUCCAUCCAAUCGAACACCUCUACAUGCAGCCGUAAUUCAAGAACACACGGGUAAGUACCUUCUGGAUGAUUUCAUCAUAUAUAAUAUGGAAAAUGAGUAAAUUUGUCCCUCUACUAAUAGAAAGAAGCUAUAUUUGUCUCUAAAUAUACUCCUACAGGCAUACUUUAUGAUCUUGUUAAACGAAAAAAAUACAUUCAUUUAUCAUCAUAUAUCAUAUAUAUAUAUAUAUAUAAUAUUUGACUAAUAUAUCCAGAAUGCGCGAGAUCACUAUGGCAAUGGAAUAAACCUUUAUGUGAAGCAUCUGAUAAAUGGGGUUGGAAUUCUCUACACUAUGCUGUUAAACAAGGAUUGAAAGAAAUAGUUUCCGAUAUGUUGGGAUGGAAGAAAUCUUCAGCCUACCUUCCGGCAGGCAGUGAAAAUGACUGGACGACAACAUUUCACAUUGCUGCUAGUGAAGGUGAUAUAUUCAUGAUAAUUGAGUUAUUAAACCACUGCCCAGAUUGUUGGGAAAUGCUUAAUAGCAAUGGUCAAAAUGCACUUCAUGUUGCCUUAUUGAACGGUCACGAAAUGUUCGUCAUGGUGUUACUUGAGUGGGAAUUUUGUAAUAGCCUUGUUGAUGAGGCAGAUAAUGAGGGCAAUACUCCACUCCAUUUGCUUGCUGCCUCUGGGAACCGUGUGCCUCAAAUGAUAUUAUACCAUCCUAUCGCAAAGAAGAUGAUAUUUAACAAACAAAAUCAGACUCCACUUGACAUAGCAUUGUCUCGUACAUGGACAAUAAAGAAGGUACUCCCUCUUGUCCAUGACGGACUGGAUCGGUUUUCCCCAUUUCUUUGAACUGACUCAGUCCGUUGGUUUCCUUUUAUUUUUUUUUAUUUUUAAUCAACAAUGUAAAUAAGAUUAGCAAAAAUUAUAGAAUUAGAGGGGGACAUGGCAACCUAACCUCUAGACACAAAAAGAGAGCAUACAGAGGAGUUAAUGCUCCUAAGAGAUCUUGUCUAAGACUAAGAGUUCUGGCACAUUGAAUUGCUAUAGAAGUAAUCAGUAGCUUUAGCCUAAACAUACUGGCAUCUACAAAAGUAAGAGAAUCAUGGGGGAUCGUAGCGCCAAGAAGAGUGCUUUUUUGCUUGUUUUCGAGAGGACGGGAGCUGGAUCUUAUCCAUUCAAAGGGAACCAAUAGCCUCCUUAGGAAGGUCUUCUUUAUGUAGGAAAAUUUUAUCUUCUUAAGGGUGGUGGCAUGCUUCGCAAGAGCAUCUGCAACUCCAUUACUUUCUCUAUAGUAGUGACUAUUCGUGACAUCUUCUGUUGCAUAUCAUCGAUUAUAUUUUGCAAUCUUGAAAGGGUGGUUUCCUUUGAUUGGUUUUUGCACUGCUUUAGUAGUGAUAUUUAUUAAGCGUAAAGAUGAAAACUGUUCAUCAGUAUGCUUUGUCAUGAUUCCUUUAUUUCUGUUAUUGAACUGCUUUGAUCUGUUUUUCAUUGAGCCGAGGGUUCUAUCAGUAACAACUUCUCUAUCUCCGGGGUAGGGAUUAUAAGGUCUACGUACACCUACCUCCGGAGUAGGGAUUACACUGAGUAUAUUCUUGUUGUUGAUAAAGAUAAAAACUAGAGUAACAAUGAAUUAUAUUUUGUGUUUUUGAAAAUGACAACUAUUUUGGACUAUCUAUUUUUGGUAAGGACGAAAAUUAAAUGAACCAGAGAAAGUAGUUAUUAAUUCAUCUUUUUCUCAAGUACUAUUAUAUUUUCAUCAGCUGAUCAAUUUUAUUACUACAUGUCACAUCUUAGGAGAAAUUGGUAGGCGAUUUGUACAGCAUAAAUGGACUAUUGGGACAACGUGACUUCAAGGUAAAACGGAAAACAGAAACGAUUGGUAACAUACAACAGAUGAGGAGAAAGGGGGAUGAUGAUGACAAAGCUAAGAGAGACAAAAUAGAAAUAGAAAAAAUUAUGAAGGCAGCUCAAAUACAAGUAGUUGUAGCUACUCUCCUAAUGACAGUCACUUUCGCAGCUGGCUUCACAUUGCCAGGAGGUUUAUACAACGAAGACAGUCCUAAUAAAGGGAUGGCGAUUCUAUUAAGAAAAGCAGCUUUUCGUGCAUUUGUUAUUUCAGAUGUCCUGGCAUUUGCAUUCUCAGCUGGUGCUAUAUUCAUCUACUUCUUCAUGGCAAAUUGUGAUGUAGCCGAAGAUGAAGAAUAUGAACGGGACUGGUUCAAAGUUUUAAAGAGUUAUUAUAUAAUAGCAGGUUCUUUGCAACUUUUGGCAAUGGGUGCUGUUGUAAUUGCAUUUGUAACUGGUAUGUAUGCUACUUUAGCAAAUUCACUUGAUCUUGCUGUUAGUGUUUGUGUCAUCGGUUGUGUCUCUUUUCUUAUGUACUUUUGGAUUAUCUUUUGGGUAGAAAGCUAAGAAGAAACUCUUAAGAGCUCUUGCUUUUUAGGCCUAUUGAGCCAACAAACAUACUUUGUAGUCAUGCCCAAGUUGCCACCAAAUACUUGGCCCAAAUAUGUAUUAAAUUAUGAUUAGAUUAUAUGAUCUAGUAUAAAUAUUGAGUGCUAAAUAAGUACUUCUUUGUAUGUUCAAGAUUAUUUAGUGACUUUGUAUUGAACUUUGAAAAAUCUAGAAUGGUGAUUAUUCUUCAAACUAUGGUAUUAAAGACUCUUUAACUUAAACUAGACUAGAUGAAAAACAUUAUGUCAAGAACUUUACUAUUGAUGUUUUAAUUCAAAACCUUUUUUUGUUGUUUAUAAUUUUGUUUUUUCCUCAAAAAUAAAAUGUCAAGAUUAGACCGGAAAAUAUAUUUUGUAAAACUUGGGUUCCAUGAAAAAUUAAAUAUUCAUAAUCACAUUGUCCUAUAUUAACAAGUUUUCUUCAUUUAUGGACUUCAUUUGCCAGAAAACCUACAUAUUUGUUUGCUUCUCUCCGGAUAUGGAUGAUAUUCAUCUCGAUGGCAUUAAGCAAAUACUUGCAAUCUCUUAUGACGUCCAUUCUUUAACGCGGAAAUAAUCUCUUCUAACCACUUACAAUUUGAAUAUUAAAAAAAUGAUCAUUUUUAGAUAUUUUAAAUAUAAAAAUAAAGAUCCAUAGUAUAAAAAGACAUAAAACUAAAAACAAAUUUUGCACAUUUUCUUUGUCCUCUUUGAUUUCUUUAAUUAUUUACUUCCUCUCUGUCUCACUCCCUUUCUCUAUCAUCAUACACCAAUGGUUGUUAUCCUUGAGACUUGAAGUAGGUCCAUCCUAGCAAUUUCCUAGCCAAUAAUAGUAUGCCACAUGUAUGAACAUGUGAUAAUUAAACAUCAAAAUUCCCCAAUUGAGUCAUAAAGUGUGAGAAUGCCAUAAGAAAUUGUUGUAUUAUGUUAUGUUCUUACCCACUAAGGAAUCAAAGAAUCUUUGUUGGGUUUUAGACUUGAAAAGAAACAAGAAGAAGAAAAAACACCUAUAAGGGUUAAACUGGUCUUUUAGAUUUUAUCAACCAAAUAAUAAAAAAAAAGCUAUGUUGAAGAGCUACCUAAUCAAAUCUUUCUUUAGUUUUACAGUUUUCCCAUGUUGGGUUUUACCUAAAUACUUAUUUUUUCCAUCUGGGGUUUGCUUUUUGUGAAUGAAUAUGAGUUAAAGACUGGAUUUUUAGUACAUGGUGUUGAUAAAGAUUGUGUUUUUAUCUUGGAAGUGAGAAAAUGUGUGUAUUUAUCUUUGUUGUGUACUAUUUCCUCUUUUCUGAUUUGUUUGUGUUACUUUAAUUUGUCAAAGUUUAAGAAAAUAAACAAGACUUUUAAAUCUUGUGUUAUUAAUGUUGUAGAAUGUACAAAAAUGUCAUUUAAUUUCUCUUACUUGAAAGAAAGCUGAGGUUUUUUCCCCUUUGAAUUUUCAGUUUGAGUCAUUGGUUGGUAACUACUGGACUCAACUUUUGCAAUCCCCUUUCUUAAUUUGGAUUGUUGAUCUUAUUUUUGGAUGUUAUGCAUAAUUUCUUUUGGUACAUUGGAAACAAAAAUAAACUACUCCCCAUAUCCCAAUUUAUGUGACACUUUUCGUUUUUCGAGAGUCAAACAAUUUAAAUUUGACAGAGAAUUUGUGCUUCGAAUGUCCGAUUUGAAAUAAAAUUUAUAUAUUUGUAAACUACGUAAAAAGUACUAUAUAAGUCACAAUAAUUGAUAAUUCAAAAUGCUUAAGAGAUCUAUGAACAAUUUACGGUCAAAGAUAGACUUGUUUGAAUCUCGAAAUCCGAAAAGUGCCACAUAAAAUGAGACGGAGGGAGUACAUAAAUUUUUUUAAAGUUGUUCAUAAGCAAUAUGCUUAAGUUCGCUAGGAGAAGAAACUUUAUGUUCUUAAAUCUUAAUAGUACUUGUUGUGACAAAAAGAUGAAAACGAAAAUCUAAAAUAAAGAACACCAAGUUUAACGUGGAAAAAUCCUUCAAAACGAAGGUAACCACCACGGGAUCGACAAGAUCCGAAUUGCUUCACUAUAACAAUAAGAGAGUUACAAUUAUUCUUCUAAUGGCUACACAACAAGUGCCAAAAGAGAACAAACAAUAACUACACCAACAAAAGAUAAAUAGAAAGAAACACCACCCAAACCCAGCUGCUGUUUAGGACCUAAAACAGGAUCUUGCUGACUUCCGAAUCCGAUCUCCACCGUUCAAAUCAACCACCAAGAUGUCAGGAACACUCAGUACAAAUUUUCAGUCCUAACAAGUACGAUCCAACGGUUAGUUAAUCGGGAAACACAAUCUGAAGGUUGCUGGUCGGAAUAAAAUACUGCAGCAAAAGAACCAUUUUUCUUCUCUUUUCUCUCUUGUUGAAAAGCUCUCUCAAAAAAACCUCUCUUAUGUCCUAAUGUCUUUCAAAAGACAAUACUAAUGAGCAAUCUGAAUUAUUCUCUUAAGACCAUCCUCUAUUUAUAGAGUUGUGCUUUUCCUUACAAAGCCAAAACCAACUCCAAAUAGGAUUACUAUUCCAAUCCUUUUCCUAAUAGAAUUGGAAACCAAAUAAAGAGAAUAAUUCCAAUCCUUUUUCAAAUAGGAUUAGGCCAUGGGCCUUUGGCUGGACAUGGGCAAUAGCCCAACAUUGAGAAGGGUGUUAUAUUUUUAUUGGACCUGCUAGAUAUUGAUGUCUGAUGAUGUGGAACUUUUGAAAAAUGAACAGCCAAAUAAAUGAAAGAGCAAAGAAAAAUUAAGAGAUAAUAUAUGGUCAAAAACUAUAUUUGAACUAGAUGAAGAAUGCCCGUUCCGCGCACGGCCUAACAAUUUCAAUUAUGAUAUACUCUCCUUGUUCAUUUUUUACACUUUCAUUAUUUUAAAAAUAGAUUUUUAUUUUUAUUUGUCACUUGUAAUAUAUCAAGAAAAGAAAAUUAUUAUUUUUCAUUAGUAACGUUAGCAUUAAUUAUUUAUUUUCCAACUCAGUUUUCAAGAUUUAAUAUUAAACAUUACGUAUUUAAUAUGGAUAGAACAGUAAAAUAGUCAUGUCAAUUAUUAUUUUUUAAUAGGCAUGAAAUUUAUUUAUGUUUCGACUACUACUGUUGUUCAUAAUAUAAUGGGGAAAAUGCAUAAGUACUCUCCCCCCCCUCCCGUAGGUCGAUUGACCGAACCACAUUAAAUCUGUCUCUUCUGGUGUGUUUCUCGUUUAUCUUCUUACUCGUGGUCUUUCAAGGUUUGCUUUGCUAGCUUCCGCGUGACACCUAAUUAUUUUUCAGUCCUAACAGUAUUAAAGGGCCUCUUCAUGAUUGUGAUUCUCCAUAAACAAGUAGUCUCCGGAUACGUGCUUUGUUUUUUUGAGAAGUGGAUACGUGCUUUGUAUGUGAACCUGAACAUAUUAAUGAGUAUGUUAGUUUUAAAAAAUUGCAUAAAUGCAAUAUAACAAUGCUUUUGACUUAACUAGAUACUUCAUUUGUCUCAAUUUAUGUGACAUUGUUUGAUUGAGCACAGAGUUUAAGAAAUAAGACUUUUGUGACACCUUGGAUAUCCACACAUAAUGGAUCCAAGAAUGUACAUUGCUGCAAGGGAAGAGAGUAUGGAAGAUGGUGAUUUUUCACUUGUUGAUCAUCUGAAAAGGAAGGAAGAAAGUGGUUACCCCAAAGGGAAAUACAAUCCUCAAUGUGGCAGCUCACUUUGGCCAACGAGGUUUCGUGGGAGAAGUCCUUUAAGAUUACCCCGGCGUUAUUAUGCUAUAAGAAUAAGAAAAAUGAAACUGCGCUUCACAUUGCAGCUAAUUUAGGACGAAGUGAAGUGGUGAGUGAACUACUUAGCAUAGAAGGAAAGGAGACACUUGUGAGGAUGACGGAUGACAUUGGAGAUACGGCCUUGCACAAGGCCGUUAGAAGUGGACACAUUGACAUUGUCAGGAUGUUGGUGAAAUUAUUACUAGAUCCUGAACACGACUUCCCAGCCAAUAGGCUGGGGAGACACCACUUUAUUUGGCAGCAGAGUCUGGUUUUCAUGAUGCUUUGAUUGAAAUCUUGAACGUUUGCAAGGAACCAACUUAUGUUGCAGGUCCAUCCAAUCGAACACCUCUACAUGCAGCCGUAAUUCAAGAUUGUGUUUUUUUGCUUUGGGAUGUACAUUUAUUUGUGUUGUUGUACUAGUACCAUUUUAUUUUCAGAAUGCCCUCUUUUGGGGUUCUUGAAAACGCUGAGAUUUUUUUUUCUCUUUGAGUUCAGUUUGAGUUGUUAUUGGUUUGUAAAUACUGGAAUUAACUUUUGUCUCCAUUUUGGGUGCAAAUAUUAGUAAACGUAUAUGGGAAGCAACUGAAAUUUAAUGACCUGUAGCAUAGCAUCUUAAAGAUUGUUAUAAAAAUAGUGUUUUUUUAGGUGUUUGUGCUCUGAGUGACUGAGCAAAGAAAUCUUCUCUAAAAUCAUUUGUUCUAUGAGUGAAUGACAUGUUUGUAUAUAUCCACAGAUUAAUAAAUGCUCUGCUCUCAUUAUGUACAUUGUUGUCUAGGUGUUUGGUAUGUGUCUUACUAGAGUUUACGGUGCUAGCUUAAUCAACUUAAAUAGGCACUUGAAUGCAUUAUCUUUACCGUCUGCACCUGAAAUUAUAUCCAUGUAAGAAACCAAUAAUAGCAUGCUGCUUGUAUGGACAUUACCAAGAAAUCAACAAAGCACAACCGCAAUCACAAGCACAACAAUUCUCUAGAUCAUACACUAUUUUUUUAUUAAAUCUGAAACCGAAUGCACGUUCAAUAUCGUUUCGACAUGAUUCUUGUUUCAUCACAAAUUAAUUAUUAUGUUAUGUACUUAUUGUUAUCUUGUAUUUAAAUUAUUAUGUCAUGUAUAUAUUGUAUUUUGAAAUUAAAAAUUUUCAUCUUAUCAUUUAAAUUUUGUACAUUCUUUAUAGUGAAAAUAAAAAAUAAUAUCAAAUUAUCUCUUAAAGUAACGAAAAUUGAAAAAAAAUAUUUGAAAUAUUGUUAAUUCGGGAUGAAAGUAGUAUAUAUUAAAUAAAUAUAUUUUUUAAAAUGUUGUAUUACAGUUAAAAAGAAUUACGAAUAUUAGAAAUUUAAUUAAUAAGAAAAAUAAUAUGUUAGUUACAAAUAAUAGAAAUAAUAUUAAAUUAAUAAAAAACAGAGAGGAUGAAUAGUUGGAGAACUAUUGUUCACCUCUCUAUAAAUAAAGAAUAGAGAGCUUUUUAGAGGGUGAUUGGAGACCCAAUUCGCUAUUUUACUCUCCAAAUAUAGAGAAUGGAGAGUAAAAUAAAGUAGGGUUGGAGAUGGUCUAAGACUCUAUUAUCUUGUUCAAUGAAACCAAAAAUUGUAAAUGAAUAACAGCACAAAGCGUAAGGUGGAAAUUAAUAGUGCCCACAAGAGAGCACUACGAAUUUGCACCUUUUAGUUUUCUGAGAACUCAUUUCCUUCUCUCCCACAUUAUUUAGGAGACUCUGCUACAAGAAGUGAUGGGCUAGUAUUUGAAAAAUUAGAAACAAUAUUAUUUCUUACAAUUAAGACAAUUAAUUGAUGGUAAACCAAAAAUAUAAUGUGCACUUAAAUUAAAGAACACAGUACCCCUUUCUCAUCUGGUUGAAACUCCACUGAUUUGAUAGGGACACGAUUUGAAUCUAAAGUAACAUGAAGUAUUUUCCUCUUGUCUUCUUCUUCAAAUAUGUCCAACAAAAUUUGAUACUUCAUCAUUUCUUUUUGGAUGUAUUGGAUCUUGUUGAAGCUAUUGACACUGUCAUAUGAUUUUGCUUUGUCAGUCGCAUCGGCAGGUGCCUUGGAACAAACUCUCCUGUCCUUUUACCAUCCCAACUGUGUUGUCUUCUUUUUGUUUUUGUUGCUUCCACUUCUUUGAUUCCUAGAUGAGAUAUCCCCAUCUCUAGCCACUUUAUCAAAGCAUAUGUCCAACAUAUUAUCUUCCUCAUCCUCAUCAAAAGAAUCAUCGCCCAAAUCACUAGCAUAAGCAUUAUUGGUGUUGCUUAUUAUGAAGCAAGAAAGCAAUUAUUUUCUGGUAUCUUAUGUUCUUUCUUUGGAAUAAAUAUCCUAUUUAAUUUGUGUAGUUGCAAACCCCAACAGAUUAUUGUGUUGGAAGGAAUUAUUCUUACAGUAUAAUUCCAACAAUAGCAUCCAUAUUCCCUAUCUCAACUAAAUCAGAAAGGAAAAAAUAAUGAAUAUUUAAAUACUUUCUCGGUCGAACUUAUUGCACCAAACUUGCUUAGUGUGUAACCUCUCCCUUGUGUUGUGCGAGCCGUUAGACUGGAACAACUACAAUGGACAUCUUUCACGAUGGAAGUUCACAGAUGAGCAAGUUGAUAGCCCAUUCACUACAUACACAUAUUUAGGCUUUGAACUAAGCACUAUAGAGAAACAUGAUAUAGUACUUUUAGUUUUCACCAUGCUAAAACGUAAAAAUAAAUUAUACUUAGCAUUUCUCAUUGGCAACAAAAUAUUGGGUUAUCAUAUACACUCCUCAUCUAAAUUGAGGAAGUGCAACUCUGUUACUCAAAAUAAUCAUUCACAUUUAUAAUUCAACUUUUGAAAAUAUUAUUUGAAGCAAAACACAAACUCUUGAAUUAUCUACAUAUAAUAUGCUCGAAGUACACAUAAACUGAUGCAUAUAUAAACAAAAUGGGAGUAAUUUGACGGUAGAAAAAUACGUGUUUUUUGUUGAAAGAAUCAACUUCACCAAAUUAAAGAUUGAACAAACCCCAACAACCUCAAUAUAUUCAAGGACAAUAUAUUGAAAGCUCAAAUAAAGAAGCAGGAAAAAUACCUUAUGCAAACUACUGGUUCAAGUUGGUAACUAUUAAGCAAAAAUUUGUAAAUAUAGUAACUUUAGAUUGUGUAUAUAAUCUUGUGAGAGAUGUAAUAUUCUAUGAGAUAUUAUAUGAUAUCUCAUUCCUAUAAUAUAUCAUAGAAUAUUACAUCUGUCACAAAAUUAUAUUACACGAUCUAAAGUUACUAUAUUUACAAAUCUUUGCUUAAUACCCCCUCAAGUUGGUGCGUGAAGAUUUUGAAUAGCACAAUUAGCAUCAAGUGAAGUAAACUCGGGCAAUUUGAAUAGAAAUAUAUGAAUUUCUGAAAUCUCUAACUAACAACUAUACCAGGAUGGAUUCUACCGAAUCUUGAUUGAAGGGUAGAUAAACUAAUUGGAAGCAACGUCAACAUUGCCAAAAAUUUAUACUAACUGUAACACCCCAUAAACUUUUUGAACUAAGACUCGAACCGUUCUUCAUAGUGAGUGAGAUUUUUGCAAGGAAUUUAAAAUUUCUCGAGUGUUAAGGUCACUAGAUGUAGUACCUUAAGUUCCAAGAAGAACCAAAGAGAAAAACAUUCAAGUCAUUCCUAAGUUUUUCUUAAGUUUUGGGUCAACUUCAAAUGACCAUAAUUUUUAGUACAAGAUGAGUUAGGAGACCCAUAAGAUAUUAAAUUAAAUCCCUUCGAGUCCUCUUUCCAAUGCCACCGAGUUUGCUAAAUUUUGAGCUCUGGGUAAAAAGUUAUGACUGAUUUACUAACGAUGCUCAAACCUGGCUGCUCCGCGCUGGCUCCGGGUUACGGAGCCAAUACGGACCUCACUGCCUGGUGAAAAAUUAUUCCGACUCCCAGCUUGUUUUAUUUAUUUCUUAAAUAGUAUUUUGGUCCUAAAAAGCCUUAGAAGGUCAUCUAAAUUACCCUAAAUGAGUAGAAAAUCAGUUUUUUCUUAAAUCAAACCCUCUCAUCCACUCCAAAAUUCUACGCUCAAGAAAUUCAAGAAAAUGGUAAGGCUAGGGUUCAUCUUCCAAGAUUUUUCUUCAAGAUCUUCAAGAAAGAUGGUUCUUUCAGGUAUGUAAGCUUCCAUAGUGUUGGGUUUGUUCACCCACACGCCAAUCAUGUUAAUUUCAACGUUAAAUUCGUUCUAGAAAGUUGAAAGUUUGGUGUUCUUAAACUAUGUUCUUGAAAUUGGCUUUAGUUCUUGAGUUUAGAUGAGAUUGUUGAGUUCUUAAUGAAAUAAUGUCGAUUUUAGAGUUGUAUAUGAGUAGGUUCUUGUGUUCAUGUGUUGGGUAUCUAAAUCUAAAGAGGGAUUGAGAAAAAGAAUCGAAUAUAGGCGAAUUGGGGUUGAGAAAACAAAGAAGGAAAAAGUCAAGAGAAUCUGGCACCUUGCUACGCGUCGCGGACCUAUUCCUUCAGUGUGAAAUUUUUUCUCCGCGUUGCGGACUUGCUCUCCAGACAGUGUUUUUCAACAGUUUCUCAUGUUUAACUAUCUAAAAACACUCCUAAAACAUCACGAGAUCUUUCCUAUCACAAAUCACAACCUUGAAUUCAUAAAUCAAAUUCAAGGUAGAAUUGAGAGUCAAGUUUUGAGAGUUCUUUCAAACAUUUUUUAGAAAGUCCCCUUGAGUCUUUUGAGGAGUCUUCUACAAUUUCUAAUAACUUGUUUCAAGACUCGAGCAUGUGAGUAUGAGAAUGAGAAAAAUGUAUUCAUGAGUCUACUUUAUCACCACGAGAUCCUUCAUAUCAUGAACCAUAACUCUUGAAUUCAUAAUUCACAUUCAAGAGAGAGUUAAGAGUAGAGUUCAAGGAAGUCUUUGAGUUCAAUUGUGAAUCCUUUGGGAUCAACUAUUGAUUUGAACUAAGUUUUGAGGAAGUAAGUAAGAGAAUGAGAAGAGUCAUAUACAUGAGUUCCAUGUAGUUAUGUAGACCUUCGAGUCGAAUCGUUCAUGCCUAUAAAUUUUGCAUGGACUCCAUAAAUUGAGUAUCAUUGACAGGAAUAGUAUCUUAAUGUUCUAAGUCUUGAGUAUUGAGUUAUUAAUCCAUAUUACAUUUCUAAUCAUGGGACUAUUACAUGUNNNNNNNNNNNNNNNNNNNNNNNNNNNNNNNNNNNNNNNNNNNNNNNNNNNNNNNNNNNNNNNNNNNNNNNNNNNNNNNNNNNNNNNNNNNNNNNNNNNNNNNNNNNNNNNNNNNNNNNNNNNNNNNNNNNNNNNNNNNNNNNNNNNNNNNNNNNNNNNNNNNNNNNNNNNNNNNNNNNNNNNNNNNNNNNNNNNNNNNNNNNNNNNNNNNNNNNNNNNNNNNNNNNNNNNNNNNNNNNNNNNNNNNNNNNNNNNAAGAUGAGAGGAAACUGAGAUUUCCAAAAGAGUUUUGCGCAGUUUGAGUACCAUCUCAUUUAAGAGAAAGAUUUUUGAGUAAUUAUCUCAAAUCAAAGAAAAAGUUAUGUUUUUAAACAUAUGAGCUGAGUAUUUUGGGAGUAGUAUUGAGCACCUCUAUGGGAACGAGUUUGAGUUCAGAUAACUCACGUCUUCAUAAACCAUGUAGCCAUCAUGGGUAGAAAAGAUCAUACUUUUUAGAUGAUUCUUUAGUGCAUUUUAGCAUAGACUAGUGGAUCCACUUAGUUAAGGCGUCCUAUAUGACGGGAAAGUAUAGGACAAUUAUGGUAGCGUGGGCAAGACGUUGUAUCAUCACUUAGACUCAUAGUGGUGGUUGUCGGUUAGAGAAACUCCCACAGAGUUAUAUUAUAUAUAAAUUGAGUUGUUAUUGUAUUCUUCAAUACACUGAGUUGAUUUCUACUGUUUUAAAAGAUUUUCAUAUAUUGCAUGUGUAUUGUUGCUUUAUAUUGAGUUGAGUAUCAUAUCUUUGAGUUGAGUAUCUAAUCUCUGAGUUGAGUAUCUUAUCCUUGAGUACUUCUGAGUUAAGUUAGUUUGAGUAGUUUUGAGUAUCCUUGGGUAUUCCUUGAGUUGAGUAAGUUUGAAAAGGGGUGAGUAUGUUUCCUUUUUAUCAAGUUCAAGCUUAUGUUAUCCUUUAGAAUUCCCCUUACAUGCACGUACAUUCCACGUACUGAACCAUUUGGCAUGCAUCCUUUCAUGAUGCAGAUUCGGGUAUUCGGGAUCAUCAACAGGAGCUUCAUUGAUACCACAUGGAGUUCGAGUUAGCUAUGGUGAGCCUCCUUGCUUCUGGAGGAUUUCAUUUACUUUUCAGUUUUGUCAGGAUGUCGUGGGUUUCAUCCCGACUUCCAUCUUUGUCAUUUAGAGGCUUCAUAGAUAGACAGUAGAGUUUGAGAAGUCUGUAUCAUUUAUUUUGUUAAAUGUUUUAAAGACUUAAGUUGCCUAUUUUAUGGCGAGUUGAAUAUAUUAUUUUAUUCAUAGUUUUUCAUUUGAGUUAAAGCUUUGUAUUUCAGUUUCAUGAAUUUUAUUCAGUUUUUAAGCUUUGUAUGCUUGAGUUAGUCUUUCGCUUGUAAUUAACCCGGAUGAGGGUUCGCUUGGGGACCAACAAUGGUUCUUCAGUACCGACCACGUCCAGGGUGUAGGCUCGGAUCGUGACACUAACAUAGAAUAGGAAGGCACAAAUAAAGAAUAAUAUAAUACAUAACUUGAAUAUAGAGUAAACAAAUAAACAAAACAAUCAAUGGUGAGGAGAUAAAAUCAGAAAAGUUAACGCAAUUACUCUAGGUAAAUAAUCAUAAUAAGAAAACUACAUCAGCUCGAAAUACAUUGCAUUCAACUGUCAAGUGUCUAAACUGCCCUCAAAUACAAUUUUAAAGACAAAAAACUGCCAUGUUGAUACCUCACAUUUCUAAUAUAGCAGAAGUAAAAGUACAAAAGAAAAAAUUAUGUUAGAUUGCUUAAUUUUCAGCAAACCAACGAUCUUUUGUUUAAGAAUUAACAAAGCAAGAAUACAGUAGUAUAGAUUGGUAUUAUUUAUGAAAUUUCCUCUUUUCAAAUAUUAAAGACUCUUAACUUAAACUAGACUAGAUGAAAAAAAUUAUUUUGAGAACUUCACUAUAUAUUCAUGUUCUAGAAAUCAAACUAUUCAAGACUCUUUAUUUGUUUAUAAUUUUCUUUUUUCCUCAAAUAAAACCUACUAAAUUAAUAGGUCAAAAUGUCAAGAUUAGCCCCGAAAAAUAAAUUAAAAUGAUGUAAAAUUUAGGUUCAAUCGUAAAUUAGAUAUUCAUAAUCACAUCGUCCUAUAUUAACAAGUCGUCUUCAUUUGUAGACUUUAUUUGUCAGAAAACCUACAUAUUUGUUUGCUUCUCUCCGGGUAUGGAUAAUAUUUAUCUUGGUGGCAUCAAGCAAAUACUUGCAAUCUCUUAUCACAUUCAUUUUUUUAUGCGGAAAUAAUCUCUUCUGAUCAAUUACAAUUUGAAUAGAAAAAUAUGAUCAUUUUUGGAUAUUCUAAAUAUAAAAAAAAAUCAUCAUAUAAAAAGGAGAUAGGGUGAAAAACACACUUAAACUAUUGAAAGCGUGAGUUACAUACCUAUACCUAAACUAUCACUUACUCCCUCUGUUCCCUUUUAUUAGUCAUCCUUACUAUAAAUAGUUGGUUCAUAAUACUUAUCAUUUCAUAAAAUCUAUGCAUAAAUUACAAUAUUCUUCCUAUUUUACCCUUAUGAGUUAUUGGCCUUGAAAAUAUACAUUUGGCCAACAUAAAAAACUAAGUGAAUAAUACAUGUUCAUUGAUCAAAUUAAUUAAUCAAAAUAAAUUAAUUCAUAUUCAUUGAUUGAAAAGUAGACUUCAAAAAAAAUUAAAUAAGGAUAGAAUAGUAAACUUACUUAAUUUCUUAAUGCACAUGAAUAAAGAUGAUGACAUAUAAAUACGAAUAGAGAGAAUAUUAGUUUGAGAAACACAUCUCUCUCUUUUAUUACACUCUCAUCGUGGUGCAUGUACUACACUCUCUCUCUUUUAUUUUAAAAAAUUAUCACAUCACACUCCACAUAGACAAACAUUCCACCUUUACAAAAAUUAAAUAAUUAUUAGUAUUUAUUAAAAUUAAAGAUUAAAAAAUUAUUAUCUCCCAAAAAAAUAAUACUUUUUUAUAAAAUAAAAUGUAAAAUAUUUUUCUUACCUCACUCAUCACUUCCUCUCACCGUCCCCCCUUCCCCACCCAUUUUUUUUGUUUAAAUUUCUUUUAUAAAAGUAUUUAAUUUUUUUACUUCAUCCCCCCCCCCCCAAAAUACUAAUUUAGAUAUUAUUUUAUUUUUAAAAAAUAUAUAAUUCUACCCACUUCACCUAACCCUCCGCUUUCAAAAUUUUUUUCUCGUUUUAUGUUAGAUAUAUACAUACCAAAAUAUUUUUUACUUGCUGCCACAAGACUUUUUUUAAAAUAAACUUUUUAUUUAUGUUAUAUACGGUACACAAGUAGAAAAAAUUCCUAAAAACAUAUGUACAUAUCUAAUACAAAACGAGAAAAAUGUAAAAUAAAUAAAUAAAUUAUAAACAGAUAGUUAAAUAAGAUGGGUUAGAAUUUUAUUUUAUUUUGUUUGGUAACUGUAAUGUUUAUUACCAGAUUUUCUAUAUGUACAAAGUUUAGAUACUCUGGAUGUGGACAUCUUCCACUCUCAGAGCCCAUCUAAUUAAAAAAAAACUACCUGCUAGAUUCUAUUCUAAGGAUAGAAAUUAAGCUUUUGCAUAAAACAUAUAAAUCUAGGUAGCAUACUAGCUCUACAAUGUAUGUCCUGUAUGAUUGUUCUAAUGAUCAACUCCAUGUUCCUCUCCUUGCUUUGAAAAAUUUGGUAGUUCCUCUCUUGCCAAAUAUAGUAGAUUGUUGCUGCAAGUGUCAUUCUGUAUAUUUAUGCUUGUAUGGUUUUGUUUGAAGCAUGCUCUACAGCCCACGUCAAUUCCUCAUUCCAUCCAUUACUGACUCUAAUUAUUGCUAGCCAGUGCAGGAGUUUUUGCCAUAUCCCUUUUGAGAAUCGACAGGUAAAUAAUAGGUGUUGGUGUGAUUCAUUUUCUUCCUUGCAAAGUGGACAUAUUACUUCACUUGUGAUCCCCCAUAUUUCCAAUCUAUCUAUGGUGUAUAAUCUUCUAUGAAUAGCCAGGUACAUUGCAAAUAUCCAUUUAGGAUUUCCCUGGUUAUUGCAUGUCAUUCUCCUCCAGGGAACCUUUAUAUACUCCAUUUUUAGCUUCUUAUACAUUUCUUUAAUACUAAAUUCAUCUGCCUCCAAAAUUUCUGCAAAUUGCAGACCUUUUUCUUCCAGCCACUUGCCUGCAUGCAUGAUUUUCCUCACUAUCCAAGAAGCCUGAUUUGCUCUCACUUCCCAUGGUCUUCUACCUUUGAGGUAGAAGGUAUGUACCCAAAUAAUCCAUAAUUUAUCUUUCUUCUUGCUUAGUUCCCAUAAGUGUUUUAGCAGAGCUGCUUUAUUCCACACAUAUAUAUCAGUAACAGUGAGUCCUCCUGCAACUUUUGGCCAACAAAGUGUGUCCCAUGCUAUAAGAGCCUCUCCUUUAGCUUGUACCUCUCAAUUCCAUAGGAACCUUUUACAUAUAGUCUCUAUUCUUUUGAGAAUUUGCUUUGGUAGCAGAAAGAUUUGUGUCCAGAAAGCUUGCAUAGCUGUUAAAACACUGUUAACCAGUUGUAAACUUUUUGCAUAAGACAAGAAUUUGACUGUCCAUGUUGUAAUUUUUCCGAAUAUCCUGUCUAUUAAUGGUUGGCAUUGCCCUACUGACAGUUUCUUUGAACUCAAAGGCACUCCAAGGUAUCUGAAAGGGAGUAGUCCUUUUACAAAACCUGUUUGCUGCAGUAUUAAUUGUUGCAUCUCUUCUGACACUCCUCCAAAGUAAAUACAACUCUUGGCCUGACUUUCUUUGAGUCCAGACACCUUUGAGAAAAGCUGAAAACACUCAUAUAAGAAAGUACUUGAUGUUAUAUCUCCUCUACUAAACAACAAUAGAUCAUCAACAAAGCUUAGUUGUAUGAUGUGUUGUAUGUGGCAUCUAGGAUGAUACUUAAACUUUGGAUUCCUUCUCAGUGUUUUCAGUAAUCUUGUGAGGUAAUCCAUGGCAAGGAAAAACAAAUAAGGUGACAGUUACCCCUCUCUUUGCUUGAAAAGGUACACUAGGACAUCCAUUGAUCAAUAUUGAGUAAGACACAGUCCUGACACAGCUCAUUGUCCAUUCUAAGAACUUUUGAGGAACCUGCAUACCAGUUAGUACCUCUUCCAGAAAAUGCCAUUCCAAAGAGUCAUAUGCCUUCUGCAUAUCUAUCUUGAACAUACAUCUAGGUGAGGUUCCUUUUCUUCCAUACCUUUUAACCAGUUCAUGGCUGAGGAGCACAUUAUCAGUCAACAUUCUACCAGGUACAAAAGCAGCCUGUCUUGGAUCAACUAGAUAGUUCAUGACACUAUGAAGUCUUUUUGUGAGCAUCUUUGAAAUGAUCUUAUACAAAGUAGUGCAACAAGAAAUGUGCAUGUAUUCUUUUAUUGAAGUGGGGUGUUUUACCUUAGGAAUCAAAGUGACAGAGGUUCAAUUUAUGGGAGCAUACAUUUCAGUUGUGAGAAAGAAUUGUAAAACAGUUGUUGUUACCUCCUCCCCUAUGAUUGGCCAAGCUUUUUUGAAGAAAUAAGAGUUGAACCCAUUCUCUCCUGGUGCUUUUGAAUCCCCAAUGCUCAUAAGAGUUUCUUUCACAUCAGCAUCCUUGAAUGGUUGAAUGAGGACCAUUUUUUGCUCUCUUGUAAGGACUGGUCCAUCUUUUAGAACUUCAAGAUGUGUAGCUUCCAUGUGUUUAUUGCAUUGACCUAGCAAUUUUUGAUAAAAUCCCACAGCUUCCUUUGUAACAUCUAUCGCAUCCCUAAUAACAGUCCCAUCCUCUCUUGUGAGCAUGUUGAUCUGAUUUUGAGCCUUCCUUCCUUUCAUACUAGCAAAGAAAUAAGCAUUGUUAGCAUCCCCCAGUUUGAGCCAUUGUACUCUAGACUUUUGCUUAUAUAUGUUCUCUUCAAUCAUACUCCACUUUGCCAGUUUAGUUCUCAGUAGUUUUUCCUCAUCAAUGAUGUCUUGUGAUAUUGGCCUUACUUUCAUAUUCCUUUGUGUAUCUAUGAGCUCUCUUCUGAGUGUUUGUACUUUUUUCGAGACUCCCAUAAACUCUUUUUGAUUAAUCUUUUUCAUCUCUAUCCUUACCAUUUUCAGAUUCCUCCAUACCCCUUUCAUGCCUCCUCCUAAAAUUUGCCAGCUAGCUUCUACCCUUUUCCCUGAAGUCUGGAUGUUGUCCUAUGCAAUUAUAAAACCUGAAAGGUCUCUUCCUUGUAUCACUUUGCUCAUCCAGUAUCAAUCUUAAAAGGGAAUGAUAUGAAAAUAAAGGCUCCAUAGCAAUGACCUGUUGUGUAUCCAGCUUGUUCACCCACUUAACAUUAACUAUAGCUUUGUCUAUUCUGCUAUAUACAUGUCCAUUGGUCCUUGUAUAAUUCCUCCCUCAUAUCUGCAGUUCAAUAAGGUUGGAAUCAAUCACACACUCCUUGAAAUCUCUUAUUUCUACAUCUUGUACCUGACUACCAACUAUUCUAUCAUCUUGUGCUAGUAUAGAAUUGUAAUCCCCCAUAAUCAACCAUAGAUCAUUAAUUUGGCUACUCAUUUGAUGAAUUGCUGCCCAUAAUGAAGCCCUGGUAUUGAUAGUAUGUAAGCCAUACACAGCAGUAAACUGAAACUGUGUAUUAUCUAUUUCCACCAAACCAUGUAUGUAUUGUUCAACAUCUGCCACCUUUUUGAAACUAGCUUCCUUUGGAUUCCAUAUCACCCAUAUCUUUCCUUUUAUAUUUGUGUUAGCAUUAGUACACCACUCCUAUCCUGGUAAACUUCUAUUAAUAAUAUGAUUUUCUCUAUCUUGUCUUACUCUAUGCUCACAGAUUACUAUUAAGUUCACCUUAUUCCUUCUCACAAACAACCACAGCUCCUUUUGUUUCAUCUCCUGAUUAAAUCCCCUCACAUUCCAUGUUACUAUCAUGAAUUGAUGGUUGCAAAGAUGUCAUCUUCAUUCCACCACUUCCUUCUCCACUCAUUUAUCCUUUCUCAUAAGUCAUGACCCCUGCUGUAGGACCCUGUCCUCCUCUUUCUUCUUGUAUAUUUCUAUAGUCCCUUAUAUUAGAAGUUCUAUGUCUUACAGUAUGCCACUCUCCUUAACUGUGUUGCUUCAUCCUUAUCCUUAGUUGAUUGCUCUUGCUGGUUUGCUUCAACCUGUUUAGUAUCACAUCAUUGCUCAUUGUUUGUAGUGGGUAUCCAUUCUUUCCUCUGUACUUGCCCCUGAUUCUUCUUUUGGAACUGUAUAGGUGCCUCUAGUUUUUCCACACACGAAUGCCCCACUUGUAGACAUUUCUGGCAAAAUAUUGGCUUCCAUUCAUACCAGACUUUCUGCUCUACUACUCUUUCUUUUGUAUCCUGUAUUUUAAUCACCUUUGCCAGGGGUUUAGUAACAUCUACUUCCACUAAUAUUCUGGCAAACGAGAUUGUACUGACUUGAGUUGUACAUUCAUCUGCAUACAAAAGCUUCCUCAAACUACUACCUAUCUUACUCAAUACAACUGAAUUCUAACAGUUAAGUGGCAGAUUUGGGAGUUUAAUCCACAGCGGAAUGGUGGUGAGAAUUUCCUCUUUGAAGUUGAACUACGGCACCCAUGGUUUCAUUAUAACAGGUCUUCUAAGUAAGUGGUGAGGUCCAGAGCACAACACCUUAUCCAUUUCUUCCUUAUUAGCAAACCUUACAACAAAAUACCCAUCUACAUGGUAUAGAAUUACAGAUUUUGUGGAGAAAGUACCUUGUCCCAUUAUAAAUCUCUAUAUGGCUCUAAUAGUUGGAGUUGUUCCUACCACAUAAACUACUAUUAAUUGAUGGAGCCCAUUUCUCAUCAUCCUGAGCUACAUCCUCAGGUAAAAUUUCUACUACUUCUUCCCCAUCCACUAUCAUAGGUGGAAUGUAAUUUAGAUUCAUACCUCGAGUCGUCAAUCUAUUGGUAGCAAACAGAUCUGCCCAUGGCUUCUUCACUUCUUCAACACUCAAUUCCAGCUUCCUCUGUGUUUUGUUUGGUGUUUUCCCUGAGUUACUGUUCCAUUGCUUCCCAACAAAUUUUGUUGUAGCCCAGAUCCAGUUCCUCUUUUGUUUGAGAGCUCUGGCCAUUGCUCCUCCAUUUUUGUUUUCCCUUUCCCUUUACUAGCAUCAACCAUCAGUUGUAUUUGUAGUCCGUCCAGUGUGAGCAUCUGUACUUCUUCAAUUGUUUCACUCCUAGUUAACUGCCCAGCUGUCGAGCUGCUAGCUACUCUAUGGUGUAUCUCCUUCUCGCAGUACCUUUGGUUAGCUCUUUUUGGUCAUCCCCUCCCCAUUUCCGACAAGGUGCAAAUUAGUGCACACUAACGUGCGCCGAGAGAGAAAAAGAGAUGUUUAAAAAUAUUUUAUAAAAGAAUUUUUAAAAAAAAAUAAAAGGACGGGGGAUUGUGGGGGAGGGAGGGGAGGAGGUAGUGGAGUGAGGUAAGAAAAACAAUUUAAAUUUUAUUUUUAAAAAAAUAAUUUUUGGGGGGAUAGGAAUACUUUAAUAUUUAAUAUUUAAUUAUUAAUUAAUAUUAAUAAUUUAUUAUUUAAUUUUUGUCAAGAUGAAAUAUUUUAUCCAUAUGGAAUGCCAUGUGUCAAGGUUUUUUCAAAUAAAAGAGAGAGUGUAUUACACACACCAAUGAGGGUGUGUUUCUCAAACUAAUAAGUGAUAGUCUAGGUAUGAAACUCACACUCUCAAUAGUUUAGGUAUGAUUAGGGGAUAAUUUAGGUGUGUUUUUGACACUUAUCUCAUAAAUUAAUAGUAUUAGUUAUAGUUAAAGUUAAAGAUUAAAGUAUUACUAUUCCCCCAAAAAAAAAUUAUAAAAUAAAAUGUAAUAUAUAUAUUUUUACCCGACCCCACGACUUUCUCUCACCGUACCACCCCUAACUCAAUUUUUUAGUUUUUUUUCAAAAGAUAUUCUUUUAUAAAAAAUUCUUGUUUCGUCCCCGUUCCCCAUCCCUUCAAAUAAUAAUUUAGAUAAUAUUUUAUUUAAAAAAAACAAAAACAAAAUUCCACACAACCCUCCGCUACCUUUUUUUCUCGUUUUGUUUUAGAUAAAUAUAUUUUUUUGCUUGCCGCAAAACUUUUUUUAAAAUAAUUUUUUUAUUUCUAUUAUCUUCGGUACAUAAAUAGAAAAUAAUAUUUUCUAAAAAUAUAUAUACACAUCUAACACAAAACGAGAAAAAUAUAAAAAAUAAUAAUAAUAGAUUAGGAGCAGAGGGUGAGAUGGGGUGAGGUAGACUUUUAUUUUAUUUUUUAAAAAAGUAAUAUCAAACGUUUUUGGAAGGAGUGGAGAGAGGGCGAGGUAUAAAAGAAUUUGAAAAAAUAGGACGGGGAAUUAUCCGGGGGAAGGGGUAAGGAGAUGGUGGAGUGGAUGAGAAAAAUUAUAUAUAUAUUUGGAAUAGUUAUACUUUAUACUUUAGUUUUUAACUAAUAUUAAUAGUUUAUUUAAUUUUGGGAAAAGGUAGAAGUACCUCCCUAGAUUAUGACCCAAAUUUCAGAGACACACCUUAACUAAACUAAAGUUCUAUUAUCGCCUGAACUCAUUUUUUUUUGUAAUUUUGUAUACCUUUUUGGCUUACGUGACAUCCAAAUAUAUCCCACGUGCCUCAAUUGUGUGGAGUCGCGGGGUGUGCCACAUAAGCCAAAAGGUGUACAAUAUUAUAUAUAAAAUGAGUUUAGAAGGAUAAUAAGACCUUAGUUUAGUUAAGGUGUAUCUGUAAUUUCGGUCAUAGUCUAGAGAGGUAUUUGUGCCUUCUCCCAUUAAUUUUUAUCAAAGUAAAAUAUUUUAUCGAUGUGAUUUUGCAAAUAAAAGAAAGAGUGUAUUGCUUAAAUAUGUUUCUCAACUUACAAGAUUUUCUUUGUCCUCUUUGAUUGCUUUAAUUCUUUACUUCCUCUGUGUCUCUCUGGGUCCAUCCUAUGAAUUUCCUAGCCAAUAAUAGUAUGCCACGUGUGUAAACAUGCAUAAAAAUUCCGUUUUUGAGUCGUGAAGUGUGAGAAUGGCAUAAGAAAUUAUUGUUCUCUCUUUAUGUUAUGUUCUUACCAACUAAGGAGUCAAAGAAUCUUUGUUGGGUUUUAGACUUGUAGGGAAACAAGAAGAAUAAAAGGCCUACAAGUGUUAAACUGGUCAUUUAGAUUUUAUCCAUCAAAGAAAACAAAAGGUAUGUUGAAGAGCUACCUACCUAAUCAAAUCUUUCUUUAGUUUUACAGUUUUCCAUGUUUGUGUUUUACCUAAAUCCUCUUUUUUUCCAUUUGGGGUUUGCUUUUUGUGAAUGAAUAUGAGUUAAGGAUUGGAUUUUUAGUACAUGUUGUUGAUAAAGAUUGUGUUUUUGUCUUGGAGUGAGAAAAUCUUGUGUAUAUUUAUCUUUGUCGUGUACUAUUUCCUCUUUUUCCGAUUUAUUUGUCUGAUUUAAUUUAUCGACAUUUAAGAAAAUAAAUGAAGACUUUUAAAUCUUGUUCUAUUAAACUAAACAUCCAUAUUGUUGUAGAAUGUAUGAAAAUGACAUUUAAUCUUAAUUUUGAAUUAAUGAACAAGUUAAAAAAUAACAAUAUAUUUUCUUUUAAAUGGACUUGAAAGAAAAAUCAAUUGAAACAGGGUACCAUUUUAUUUUCAGAAUGCCCUUCUCUUACUUGAUUCAGAUUGCUGCUCUUAUUUUUGGAUGUUAUGCGUAAUUUCUUUUGGUACAUUAGAAAGAAAAAUAAAAAAUUUAAAGUUGUUCAUAAGCAAUAUGCUUAAGUUGGAAACUUUAUGUUCUUAAUUAAGUGCAUGAAUCCAGAGUAUUACAGAGCCUCUUCAUGAUUGUGAUUCUCCACAAACAAGUAGUUUUUGGAUAUGCGCUUUAUACGUGUACUUGAACGAGUAUGUAAGUUUUAAAAAAAUUGGAUAAAUGCAAUGCUUUUGACUUAAUCAUUUGUCUAACAUUGUUUGGUUGGGCACAGAAUUUGAGAAAUAAGAAGACUUUUGUGACACCUUGGAUAUAUCCACACAUAAUGGAUCUAAACAUGUACUAUGCUGCAAUGAAAGGGAUUAUGGAAAAUGGUGAUUUUUCACUUGUUGAUCAUCUGAAAAGGGAGGAAUUAGAAAAUGGUUACCAAGUCACUUCAAAGGGAAACACAAUCCUCCAUGUGGCAGCUCUCUUUGGCCAACGAGGUUUCGUGGGAGAAGUCCUUAAGAUUACCCCGGCAUUAUUAUGCUAUAAGAAUAAGAAAAAUGAAACUGCGCUUCACAUUGCAGCUGAUGCAGGACAAAGUGAAGUGGUGAGUGAGCUACUUAGCGUAGAAGGAAAAGAGACACUUGUGAGGAUGACGGAUGACAUUGGAGAUACGGCGUUGCACAAGGCUAUGAGAGGUGGACACAUUGACAUUGUCAGGAUGUUGGUGAAAUUAUUACUAGAUCCUGAACACGACUUCCCAGCCAAUAAGGCAGGGGAGACACCACUUUAUUUGGCAGCAGAGUCUGGUUUUCAUGAUGCUUUGAUUGAAAUCUUGAACGUUUGCAAAGAACCAACUUAUGUUGCAGGUCCAUCCAAUCGAACACCUCUACAUGCAGCUGUAAUUCAAGAACACACGGGUGAGUACCUCCUGGAUGAUUUCAUCAUAUUAUAUAUGGAAAAUGAUUAAAUUUGUCCCUCUACUAACAGAAAGAAGCUAUAUUUGUCUUUGGUUAAGAAAAAUUCAAUAAAUAUACUCCUACAGGCAUACUUUAUGAUCUUGUUAAACGAAAAAAUCAUUCAUUUAUCAGCAUAUAUCAUAUAUAACAUUUGACUAAUAUAUCCAGAAUGCGCGAGAUCACUAUGGCAAUGGAAUAAACCUUUAUGCGAAGAACCUGAUAAAUGGGGUUGGAAUUCACUGCACUAUGCUGUUAAACAAGGAUUGAAAGAAAUAGUUUCCGAUAUGUUGGGAUGGAAGAAAUCUUUAGCCUACCUUCUGGCAGGCAGUGAAAAUGACUGGACGACAACGUUUCACAUUGCAGCUAGUGAAGAUGAUGUGUUCAUGAUAUUUCAGUUAUUAAGCCACUGCCCAGAUUGUUGGGAAAUGCUUAAUAGCAAUGGCCAAAAUGCUCUUCAUGUUGCCAUAUUGAACGAUCGUAAAGUGUUGGUCGAGCUGUUACUUGACUUGGAAUUUUUUAAUAGCCUUGUUGAUGAGGCAGAUAAUGAAGGCAAUACUCCACUCCAUUUGCUUGCUGCCUCUAGGGACCAUGUGCCGC